UGGUUGCAAUGGCUCUGCUUCUUCAGGCCAUGGUGCCCCCGACAGCAUUAGCUGCUCGUAACAAUGUCAUGGAAUACAAUCCAUUGGCAAGCGUAUUCUCGAGGGAAGGCCCUGGCUGCAUCGCAAAAGGCGGGUUUUGCUUGUUUGACCUAACCAGUUGCUGUAGGCCUUGCGGAUGCCUUGCAGGGUGGUGCUAUAACAUUGAUCAUGAUUGCAAUGAGUACACAUAAUGGUCGCUACUAAGUUAAAAAAAAAAAAAAACAGCUCUGAGUCAAAAAAUGACACGGGAUUCGAUUAUAAAUGUUCUAUAUAUAACAUAUGUAUUUGAAUAAAGAAUAUCGUGUUAUGUCCCUGUUUAGUUGAGCUGUGCCAUUGCUGUAAGAGUUGGUGUUUUCCGUCUUCUCGUUGGUGUGUUGGUACUGUGUGUACCCUUGUUAGUGGCAUGUCUAAGAAUAAAUAUAUAUGUCAAUGAACUAAGUUUUAUCUGCCUUUUUUAUCUAAUUCAUGGACGGAUCACAUUUUAUAAAUUGAGCGAGGAGAUGUUAUUGUCGAGACUUGAAUCCUGGACUUUAAAUAUUAACACAUAGCUCUUAACUACUUGCUCAAUUACGGUAAAUAUCAUUAAUAAAUACUAAUAUCAACACGGAUUUUGCCAACCACCACAGUUGGGUUGGGUGAAAAUCAAUAUGGAUGGAACGGUUGGGCGAAUGACUGAUAUAGCGGCAGCAGCAGAAGUCAUCAGAGAUCAUAAUGUGAAGUGGCUGUGAGGCUGUUAUAGCAAUUUUGGUUCGUGUUCUGUGCUUCAUGCUGAGUUAUGGAGUGCUUGGAAGGGUUUCUUUCUGGCAUUGAAUUGCGGGUUUCGCAGGGUGGUUUUAGAAAUGGAUAAUGUAAAAAUAUUAUGUUCUCAGGAGAAUAAGGAAUACACCGGUUAGCCAUGGGAAGUGAAGAUACAGCAUGCUGUUGGUGAGGGUAAUUUUAUUCCAGAGGGUCUUGUAAACCUGCGGCUGAAUUCGAAUCCAGAAACAUAUGAACUUAUCAGUCCACUAGACGAGAUCUUGAGAGAAUUACAUGAUGAAGCAUGCCAAAUUGGGUAUGGCAGGGUGUCUUAGUUGUAACUUUGUAUAGCUUUUUAUUUUACUCAGAAAUUAAAAAAUAAUAUAAAUUCAAGUAACUAAAUAAUAUUGCUUAAAGUGGUAUGAACAAUGGAAUAUUGGGGAAUUAUUAUACUUCUUUUUUUUUUUGAAUUAUAUUUUAAAUUCAUAUAUGUUUGUGGCGUCAAUUGUUUAUAUAAAAAGGACUGAUGUAAUUAUGCUGUCACUUUCAUUAUUGAGAUUAUCAAUUUAGUUCGUUAGUUGACAUAUAUGAUUAUUAGUAACGUUAGCUUUUGAAAAAUAAUAUAAAGUUAGCAAGCUUUAUGUUAUCUUAUCAACUAUAAUAUAUAUAUAUCAUCUUGGUUUAGGGAUGCCAACAUGAUAGGGUGAGAUGGAUUUUUGCUUGUCCGACUCGAAUCUUGAUGAAUCCGUCUCGACCCCGAUUAUUAAAUAAUAAUAAAAAAGCCCCAAACUCAAAAUUUAAUAGGAGAUUCACUUUCGGUCCAACUUAAAUUUUAUUUAAUUGUUUUAUUUUUUUUAAAGAUUAAUUAUUUUAAGUUUAGACUUAAAAUUUAGUAUAUACAUAAUUACAUAUGAGUGACAUUUUUGUAAAUAUUUAAGAAUGGAUUGAGCGGAUUUACCUCAAACCCAAUCCCAACCUACUAUUUUUCUAAAUUCAUCCAAUUUAUUUUAAACUCGUUUUUUCAAAAAAGAUUCCUACCUUAAUAAAUCAAGUCGGAUCAAAACUGUAGGAUACGGAAAUUUUUUACAUCCCUAAUAAACCCAGUGACUUGUUUUAGUGCGGGGAUUUGUUUUGUGUACACACCUCAUCCAUCCCGAGUCUGCAAUCCGCAGGGGGAAUUUUAGAUCCUGUUACUAAUUAGGGCUUUAUCAGAAAAAUAAGGUCAUUGAAUCCUUAUUCUUAAACACUUGUUCAUUUCGUGCCAACCAAAUCGACGACACAACAGGUCAGCCACCAAUGCCUUGAGGUACCAAACACGUUUCACCAAGUUACACGAAAAUAAUACAUGAUUGGUCUCCUUGCCACACCAAUUACACAUACUUUGAUUGAGAUCAAAAUGUAUACCUCUCUUCAUUAAGAAUUCCUUAGUGGGGAUCCUAUUAAGCCGCACUAACCAUAAGAAACCUUUUUUAGGUGAACUUUCAGCUUAGCAUAGAUUUGAAUUUAUUGAAAUGCUUGGAGCAGAAGUCCAUUUAUUGUUGUUACAGUAUGCUUUUUUUUGUGCAAAGCUUGCUUUCGGAUUGCAAAGAAAAUCAAUUGGAUUUUGAUAGGAAGCUUUACCUUUAUUUUUGCAAUUCCACGUUUAUGGAUUUGAAUUUAAUGGUAAAAGUACUAGGAAUGUCCUUAUAUUUAUGGGUAGACUGCAUUUUAGCUCUUUUAUUGAAAAAAUAAGUAAAUUAGUCUUUAUACAUUUUGAAACAUGCAGAUUCAUUUAUCCAUUAAAUUUUAUCUAUUAAAUUAUUACGUGGAACGUUAAUUUAAAUGGUUGAUUUAAAUGGUUGAAUUUUAUCUAUUAAAUUAUGACGUGGAAUGUUAAUUUAAAUGGUUGAUUACUAAUUUAAUCUCUGAACUAUAGCUAAAAUAUCAAUUUUUUAAAAAAUUCUUAACAAUAAUUCUAAAAAAUUAAAAAUUCUUAAAAAUAAUAUAACUUAUUAAAAACUAUGUUAAAAUAUUUUAAAAAAUAAAAAUAUAAAUAAAAAAUUCUAGAAAAAAAACCUAUAUGUAAAUUUUUUAAAAAAAAAAUUAUCAAACUUUCGAGUCGAAACCUAGAAACCAUCAUAUUUUUUUACAAGACUUUCUUCCCCAUUGUAAAAAACCCAAAAAAUCAAAAAGAUUUCUCAUGCUUGAUUGAAGUCAUAAAUAAAUAAAUAAAAGGGUAAACUACACCCAUGGUCACUUUUGUUUACCUUAAGUUAUAUUUUAGUCACUUAUGUUUGAAAUGUUACAUUUUAGUCACUUAUGUUAUCGUGUUGUAACAUUUUAGUCACUGAGCUAUUAAUUGUCGCUAACAGUGUAACAGUAAGUUGACGUGACACGUUAAAUCAUAAUUUUAAACAAAAAUUUAGGGUAAAUUAUACAAUCGAUCAUCACAUUUUUUUUCGUUUUGAGCAAUUUAAUUUUUUUUAUGUUCUUUAAAUUUUUCAUUCUUUAUUUUCCAUUAUCUUAUGUUUCUCCCUCUAUUUUCUUUCCUUCUCCAUUUAUUUUAACAUAUCAAGAAGUCGAAUUGAUAGUGAAGAAAUAAAUAGGAAGUCGAAAACCAUCAUUGCCUAUAACCAAAACCAAUAAACCCAUACCAUGCUUUUUUCUUUACUGCCAAUUAUUCGACUUCCUAAUAUGUUGAAAGAAAUGGAGAAGGUAGGAAAAUAGAGGGAGAAGCAGAAGAGAAUGGAAAAUAAUGAAAAAAAAGUUAAAAGAACAUAAAAAAUUAAAUUGCUCAAAAUGAAAAAAUAUCGGCACCAAUUGUAUAAUUUAACCUAAUUUUUUAUUUGAAAUGAUGAUUUAAUGCGCCACAUUAGCUUACUGUUAUACCGUUAAUGAUAAUUAACGGCUCAGUGACUAAAAUGUUACAAUACGAUAACAUAAGUGACUGAAACAUAACAUUUCAAAUAUAAGUAACUAAAACGUAAGCUGAUGUAAACAAAAGCGACCAUGGGUAUAAUUUAACCUAAAUAAAAACUUGAUUGAACCCAAGAAAAAUUAACUAAAAGUUUUGACUACUCAUUUUCAAAUUUCUCAUACUUUCAUAAAUAUUCAUUUAAUCUUCAUCACCUAUCCUUCCAACUAAAAUGUAUAUAAAAAUUUAUUUAAUGUUUACUUUCUUCUACUUUAGUGAAUACGCAUUUUUGUAUCUCCUGUGUUUUCAUAUCUCCUAAUGAUGUGUAAUCAUGUUAUAAAAUUUCGAUUACUCAUUUUCACAUUCCCUUAGUUAUUACAAACUUUCCUAUUUGAAAAAUCUUAUUGUUUAAUACCCUAGAAGCUUUAAUCAUUAAUUUACUGGGUUUAAUAAUAUUUGGUUUUGAAUUUUUAAUAUAAAUGUGUGGGUUUUAUCUUUAAGUUUUAAUCUUGUUCGAAAAUUAGCAAAAAUAAAUACAUUAAAAGCAAAAAUUUAACUUGCUAUCACACCCCGAACCUAAACCUAGAAUUUAAUAGAAGACCCAACUCUGAACCGAUCCAACUCGACUAUUUUUCCAAUUUCACCCGAUGUGACCUACAAAACCGAUCAAGUUCACCAGGACGAAUACAAGGGGCAAGUAGUGCCCAAAAAAUAUAUAUAUAUAUAUAUAUAUAUAUAUCAUUUAGACCUUUAACAUUUAGGAAAUUCUAAAUUCAUAUAAUGAGAAAAUACAUUUUAACAUUUUAAUCUCAAAUAUUUAUGAUUCAUCUUUAUAUCGUUAAAGUAUCUUUCUGGGUUCACCCUUAUUUCUCCAACCAUUCAUACUGCUUAGUAACAACAUAUAAACGUAACAAAUUAUUUAUCUCUCCCGUCAGUACUACAUGCACAUAAGUGCAUUCACUAUUCCAUGCAAUAUCUCAUAUGUCACAUGCAUUACGAACCUGGACCAUCAUCUUUUCUAUAUAAAGGACCCUCCACCUAAUCAUGGAAUCCUUCAAGAAGAUCGUUUUUCUCAUCGUUGCUAUAUCUCUAGUUCUUCAAGCCACGGUGCCUCCAAACUGCGUUAGCCGCUCGUAACGAGGUUAUGUCCUCUGCUGCUGUAUCGAAAGUGGCUAACGAUUCCAACGGUUUGGCUAAGGUUUUCGAGAAGGUAGGCUCUGGCUGCAAACCUAAAGGUUCGUUUUUCUUGUUUGACCUAACCAGUUGUUGUAGGCCUUGCGGAUGCCUUGCAGGGAGGUGCGAUAUCAUUGAUCAUGAUUGCAAUGAGUACACAUAAUGGUCGUUACUGAGUCAAAAAAAAAAAAACAGCUCUGAGUCAAAAAAACGACAUGGGAUUCGAUUAUAAAUGUUCCAUAUAUAACAUAUGUAUUUGAAUAAAGAAUCUCGUGUUAUGUCCCUGUUUGGUUGUGUUGUGCCAUUGUUGUAAGAGUUGGUGUUUUCCGUCUUCUCAUUGGUGUGUUUGUAGCAUUUUUCUCAAAAACAAAUUAAGUGCCUUUCACAAUUUUAAAUAUAAAAUAUUUAUUUUAUUUAUAAAAAAUUAAAAUUAAUUAUUCGAUUCGAUUCUGUGUUUUAACUUGAAAGCCAAAACGAGUGAGUAGUAGCCUACUAGAGUAGAAUCAAAUUAGCAAAUCGACACAAGUUUAUACGUGGUUCCUUUUGAACCGCUUCGAAAUCAGCUCCAAAAAACUGCUAGAGUCUCGAGAAACUUAAAAACCUCAAAAAAGAAGAAAAAUUAUAGAGCUGAAAAGCACAAAAAAUGCACCGUUUCAGAGGCAGGUGAGCUGAAAAACCAGCAGCUGAAAGGGACAAACCCGUCACGUGCAGCUCUCCAAUAGCAGGUCAUGGAGUUCAGUUAAGAAAAACCACAGCAGGCAUAAGCAGCACAGAACCAGACCCAAACAGCUCAAAAAACAGAGUUGAAACAGUUGAUUAGACCCAAACCAGCUGGAAUCAGUAGCAUCGUUUUCUAUAUAAAGGGCCUCCUCCACCUACAAACCAUUCCACACACAAAACAUAAUCAUGGAGUGGUGCAAGAAGUUCGCUUUUCUGAUGGCUGCAUCGCAAAAGGCGGGUUUUGCUUGUUUGACCUAACCAGUUGCUGUAGGCCUUGCGGAUGCCUUGCAGGGUGAUGCUAUAACAUUGAUCAUGAUUGCAAUGAGUACACAGAAUGGUCGCUAGUGAGUUAAAAAAAAAACAGCUUUGAGUCAAAAAAUGACAUGGGAUUCGAUUAUGAAUGUUCUAUAUAUAACAUAUGUAUUUGAAUAAAGAAUCUCGUAUUAUGUCCCUGUUUAGUUGAGCUGUGCCAUUGUUGUAAGAGUUGGUGUUUUCCGUCUUCUCGUUGGUGUGUUGGUACUGUGUGUACCCUUGUUAUUGGCAUGUCUAAGAAUAAAUAUAUAUGUCAAUGAACUAAGUUUUAUCUGCCUUUUUUAUCUAAUUCAUGGACGGAUCACAUUUUAUAAAUUGAGCGAGGAGAUGUUAUUGUCGAGACUUGAAUCCUGGACUUUAAAUAUUAACACACAGCUCUUAACUACUUGCUCAAUUACGGUAAAUAUCAUUAAUAAAUACUAAUAUCAACACGGAUGUUGGCAAUCACCACAGUUGGGUUGGGUGAAAAUCAAUAUGGAUGGAACGGUUGGGCGAAUGACUGAUAUAGCGGCAGCAGGAGGAGUCAUCAGAGAUCAUAAUGUGAAGUGGCUGUGAGGCUGUUAUAGCAAUCUUGAUUCGUGUUCUGUGCUUCAUGCUGAGUUAUGGCGUGCUUGGAAGGGUUUCUUUCUGGCAUUGAAUUGCGAGUUUCGCAGGGUGGUUUUAGAAAUUGAUGAUGUAAAAAUAUUGUGUUCUCAGGAGAAAGCAGAGCACAAUGCUAUAGUCAGGAGAAUAAGGAAUUUACCGGUUAGCCAUGGGAAGUGAAGAUACAGCAUGUUGUUGGUGAGGGUAAUUUUAUUCCAGAUGGUCUUUAAAACCUGGGGCGGCUGAAUUCGAAUCCAGAAACAUAUGAAUUACAUGAUGAAGCAUGCCAAAUUGGGUAUGGUAGGUGUCUACAGAAAAAAUGGUAAAUUAAUAUCUAUACAUUUCGGAACGUGUAAAUUAAUUCCCCAUUAAAUUUUAUUUAUUAAAUGAUAUAUGAAAUAUUAAUUUAAAUGGUUGAUUCCUAAUUCUUUUCUUAUUGUAAAAAAUUUAAAAAAUCAAAAUUAAUUCUCAUGCUUGAUUGAAAUCAUAAAUAAAUAAAUAAAAACUUGAUUGAACCUAAGAAAAAUUAACUAAAAAUUUUGAUUUCUCACUCUCAAAUUUCUCAUACUUUUGUAAAUGUUCAUUUAAUCUUCAUCGCUUAUACUUCCAGCUAAAAGGUAUAAAAAUUUUUAUUUAAUGUUUACUUUUUUCUAUUUUAGUGAAUGCUCAUUUUUACAUCUCUUAUGCUUUCAUAUCUACUUUUGAUUACUCAUUUUCACAUCCCCUUAAAUAUUACAAAUUUUCCUAUUUGAAAAUCUUAUUUUUUUAAUACCCUAGAAGCUUUAAUUUUAAGUUACUGGGUUUUAAAUUUUUAAUAUAAAUGUAUGGAUUUUGAACAAUUUGAAAUUUUUGAAAAUAAAAUAUAAAAAGUGAAAUUUUAAUUUAAAAUAAAAUUCCAUUGCGAUAAAUAUGUCUCCAAAGGUGGAGAAGGAGUGAAAAGAGUUCUUUGUCUUCAUCUUAUUCUUCUUUGUCAAAAAGAUAUGCAAAAUUGGAAGAUUUUGUUUUCUGUAAAUGUGUUAUUUUUUUAGUUUGAUUGUAUUUCAACAUUAAUAAAAUUAUUAUUUUAUUAGAAUGGGUGUUUUUAGAAUUGCACUGGACAGCAUCUUCAACAGAUAAUAUUAGUGUCUCGUUGUAUUAGAUAGUUCUACUUCUCAUCAAAUUAAUCAAGAAUUUUAUUGAAAAUGAAAAUGUUUCCCUAGUAUUAAAAUAGAGUCCAAUUUUUCAAAAAAAUAAAAAAUAAAAACACCAUAAUUCACCAAAAAAAACUUUUUUGAAUGUAAGUUUUUGCAUUAAUAAAUUUGGGUUUGAUUUUAUUUUAACAUUUUUUUAAUAUUUUUAAUAUAUUUUGAUAAUUUUUAUUUAUUUUUAAAUUUUUAGAGCUAUUAUUUAAAAAAAUUAAAAAUCAAAAUGAUACCUUAACUAUAUUUCUAGAACCAUAAUUAAUCAUUUAAAUUAACAGUCUAAAUCAUAUUUUUUCAAUAGAAUAGCGGAAAUGCAAUCCACUACUUUUAUCAAAUUUAUUACCUAUUAAGAUUCAUUUUUAUUUUAAUCUUCAGCUGCACACGAAGGGAUCUAUUAAAAUAAUGUUAUCCCACUUAUUCUAAAUUUUAAAUUUCACGUAAUCUUAUGAUUUUAUAAGUUGUAUGAUUUAACCUAGACUACAAAGAAAAGAGAGAAAUCCAAUCACUAUGCCAUGCAAGUCACGUAAUUUGUCAUGCAAUCCACAUGCUUAUAUAUGCUUUUUUUUUUCUUUUAAUUUUUUGCUAAGCCACUAAUAUAUGUUCAGUAUUUCUAUUUAAAGCACCUCCAUUUAUACAUUUCCAUCAAAUUUAUGAUCAGAUUUAACACUAAGAAAUGGAGUACUAUAAGAAGCUUGCUUUGGUGUUGGCGAUGAUGGUUGUGGCAGCCACCACAACGGCAACCGCGGCUCGCAACGAGCUGACGGAAACUCUUUCUAUCAAAGCAAGUUUGAACUCGAGCUUGACUAACAUCAUCAAGAAACCCUUGGGCAAUAUUUUCGACGUUAAUGGCGAACCUGUAGUGGAAUGCAACCCAGAUGAUCAAAACUGCAUUAAAAAAUAUGGAUUUUGCUUGUUUCAGAACAAGAUUUGCUGUGAUAACUGCACGUGCUUCGGGUUGUGCGUGCUUUGCGGACAAAAAUAAAGACAGUGACUGACUGAUCAGGAAGGGAUAUCAGGAAUCAAUGUUUUAUUGUUUUUCUUUUUAUACCUAACUAUGGUGCUUGCUGGUACUGUUUUCAUGUUUUGUUGAUGUUUGCGUACUUAAUUAUUAAAUUAUCAAUAAGAUCGCAUUUAUUAAAACUGAAGUAUUUUUCCUCAGCUAUAUAUAUAUUUGCUGGGAGAAGGCUUAGUCCGGAACCUCAAUGGGUCGGUAUGAUCUCAAGUCAAGGUUUUUUUUUUUUUUUUAUUCUGCAAAAAGCUUAAGUGUUUAAGGCAUUAGAUUCAUAGAAUCUUAUCGAGAUGAAACGAUAUAUAGCGCACAGUUACCUAUCAAAGAGAUAUAUAAGCAUGAUAUUUUUAUUUAAGUUUAACUAUAUAUUAUAUAAAUAUUAACAUUACAAGGCCAUAUCCAAUGUUAUCCUAUUUAAAUCAAAAUCAUUUUAUUGAAAAAUAUGAAAUAAUUGAGAUAUGUGUUGAAACACUGACCGGUUUAUUUCUAUAUUUGUGAUAUUGAUAAUUUAUUGAAUCAGAUUUUUAGACUAUGCUAAUAUUGUGGAUCGUAUCUAGUGCAUCAAUGACGAUCAUAUCAUUUGGGGAAACAUAUUUGGAGAAUCGGAUCGGAUUUAAUUUAUCUAAUCCCUUAUAUUAAGGAAAUCAGAUUGAAAUGUUAAAGACUUAAGUUCUAAUAGUCAUUGUUUACCUUUUUUAUUAUUAUUCUAUUGUAUUCAACUAGUUUAGUUAUUAUUUAAUAAGGAUUGAUAUAGAUCUUUAUUAUAUUAAUAAGUCUCGAUAAACUUUAUAUAUUUGAGAGACUUGUAUAGGUCAUUGUAAUGAUUAUUGAGAGCACUUAAUCUCUUGAAGUGAGGAACAUACUUUUUGUGUGAAUGCAUUACAUUGUAACACAUUAGUGUUGUAGGUUUACAAGCUAAGUUCACAUAUGUGAACGAGUGUAUCAGUUUUAAAGGUACAAAAGUAAUAAAAUUUUAAUAGUCUAUAUAUUUAUAAUUUUUAAAGGGCUAAAUUAAUUUUUUAUCAUUUUAGAAAGUCAAAAUGUAAUUUUACCAUUACUAAUUUAUAAAUUAUAAAGAGCCCAAAUUAAAAUUUUACCAUUUUAGAGGUAACCAUAACCCCUGGGUCUCCACUUCACUUCGACACUGAUGUCACAUCUCUUAAAAACAUAGCAAAUAAUAUGUUAUUAUUGAUAAUAUUUAUCAUUGCAACAUCGACAAUACAUGACCACAGUAAGAAGGGCAAAUACCAAGUCUUUUUACGACCAACAAAAGGCAAUUAACAUUUACCGCUUUUGAAAUAAGUAAUUAGAUUAUUAAACCAGACAUGAAACACAAUAAAUAUCAUUAUUUAGCUGUAAAAACCAUUUGAUUAAUGAGACACCCCCUUCAUCAUUUUUUCUUAUACAAUAUAAACAAUUACAUUAUACGGGGAUGCAUAGUCCGAAGCAUGUGCAAUUACUACAACAUUCCUUUUUCGCAAACAAGCAAAACUCAUACUUAGGGAUGCAAUUCGCAUCAGGUUUUCCUUUAACGUCGAAAAUGUUGGCCAAAGCGGUGGUUGAGCUUGAGUCGACGAGGAGAGCCACUGCCUCUUUGCGAGCGGCGGUUGCCAUUGGAGGCAGGGUCGUUGCUAGGACCACUGCCAUCGUAACCAAGACGAAUCCAAAUUUCUUCCACGAUUCCAUCUUUAAUUGUAUGUGUAAAUUGAUAGAAACGGGGUUGCUUUAUAUAGAAAUGCCCAAAAUAUUUUAGUGGCUUACCAAAUAAAAAUAAAAAUCAUAUGGAUUGCAUGACAAAUUACGUGACUUGCAUGGCUGACAAGCGAAUGGAAAUUUUGAUACACAUCCAUCAUUUCUCUCUCUCUCUUGUUUUUCAUAGUUAUUCUUAAACAUCUAACUUAAAAUUUUUAAAAGAUUAAAAUAAAAUCUAGGUGCUUGUACUUUUUGCAUAUUCAAAAUUUAAUCCAUUUUACUUUUCAAAUUUAAAAAAUGUAAAUACAAUUGUUGACACAGUUAAAAUUCUUCUAUUAAAUUCAAGUUCAUUACAAAAUCAUUUUUUUGUUACAUGGCUACUAAAUGAGUAUUACUUUUAUUUCAAAAUGUCAUUCUAGAAAAUUUAAUAGAAGAAUGUUAACAGUGUUAACAAUUAGAUAUGAAUUUUAAAAUUUGAAAAGUAGAAUGGCUAGAUUCUUAGAAAAUAAAAGUAGGUGGACUAAAUUCCAAAUAUAUGAAAAGCACGAGGACUUGCAGUAUAUUUUAACCUAUCUAAAAUUAAUUGACAAUAUGUGAAUAUAUAAAUGUAAAUAAGACAUUAGUUCAAUUUGAAAGAAAAAAUCUUAAAUAUAAGGGUAAAUUACAUCCAAACUCACUAAAUUAUUAGUAAGUUCACAUUUUGGUCAUUCAACUUCAAAAAGUUACAAAACGGCCACUAAACUAUUCGAAAGUUUUUAUUCAAGUGAUCAUUGCUUGUCAGUUUUUUUUUAAAGUUUAGCUAGUGACCACCAAGCAACAAUUCCACGAUCAGUACAGUGGAUCAGUACUCAUCAAUGGGUAGAAGAACAUAUCUUAAAUCUAAGUGGAUUUGAUGAUCAGUGUCAAAAAUCUUGUAACAGCCCGAUUUUAGGCCUAGUCGGAACAGUGGUUUCGGGACCACUAUUUCGAGGCUAGAGAAAAUUAUUUUAGUAUUACUUUAUGUGUUAUAAUAUGAUUUUAUAAGUGCAUGUUAAUUUUGGUAUAUUAAUUUUAGCGAUUUCUAGUCCAAUUUCGAAAAAGGACUAAAUCGCGUAAAAAGUAAAAGUUGUGUUUUAAUACCUAAAGGUGUUAAAUUGCCUUGUAUCUUAAAUUAGGGGUCUUUAAACUGAAAUUAGGCCAUUGAAAGUGUGAUGGCCGGCCAUGGGAGACAAAAUAGUUGAAAAGUUAAAAUUAGACAAAAUAGUUUUAUUAUUAACAAAUAAAAAAAAAGCUAUCAUUUUUCUCUUCCCCUUCACUGAAAUAUGCAGCAAAGAAAGGGUUUUGAAGCUGGAAAAUUUCAGCAACAUAUUUCCCUUGCUUGUAAGUGAUUUUAAUGUCUUUGCUUGAUGAUUUUUGUAUUUUUGGAACCCCUAAAGCAUAAGCUUUCAUAUGAGGGGACUUUUGUGCAAGAUGAUAAAGAGUCUAGGGUUUUGCCAUGAAUAUAUAUGUGUUGUUUGCUAUGUUUUUAUGGAAGAUUAUAAGUCCUAGUUGUCUAAUAAACAACUUUUGUGAAAGAAAUUGCAUGAAAAUACUUUAAAAAGGGCUAAAUUGCUAAGUUGUAAAAUGAGUUGUAAAUGUGUAAAAUAGUUGAAAUUAUGAGUUGCUAUAGUUAUGAAAAUGUUUCAUCUAGACUCAAGGAGUAAAUAAAUGUGAUAAAAAUUAAUUUACGAGCAUUGGGGCAAAAGUGCAAAUAUGCAAAAGUUUAGGGGUCAAAAUGAAAAUUUGUAAAAAUAUGAUUUUUAGACCCAUAUGAAUAUUGUGACUGAUUGGUAGGCUAAAUGUGAUGUUAUAGAUGAUGAAAAUUGAGAUUUGGACCUAGAACGGAAAGAAAUCGAUUUAUGGACGAGUAUGUCUUUUCACCUUUGUGGUAUCGAGGUAAGUUCAUGUGUAAAUAAGGUAGCAUAAUUGUUAUUUUUAAGUUAUUGAUGUUAAAUAUAUGAUGUGCUGAUUUUUAUCAUGAAAUAUAUGCUUUGUGGUUAUUUUCGAAUAAAAUGCAAAUUAAGUGUAUUAUUUGUUAAAUAUAAAGUGCUACCGAGUAUUAGUUUCGGUAUUUUACGGAAGAUGACAAAGAGAUGUGUUCGAGGACAAUCCCGUUUGAACCUUAGGAAUAGAUUAGGAUACAAGUGACAUGUCACUAGGAUGGUUGAGCAUCCGAACUCGUUGAGUUGAGUCCGAGUUCACUUAUGGAUGAGAAUGUUCGAGCUCAUUGAGUUGAGUCCGAGUUCGUGAGAUGUAACUAGGCAUCCGAGCUUGUUGAGUUGAGUCCGAGUUCACUUAUGGAUGUGAACGCCCGAGCUCAUUGAGUUGAGUCCGAGUUCACUUAUGGGCGGGUUACAUGGUAGCUUGGCUACAUAUGUGGCACUUAUGUGCAAACUUUCCAUGUAUCCGAAUUAUAUUCCGAUGUGUUCAAUGGGUAAAAUUCUACUCAAAUGGAGGAAUACUCGAGAUGAAAGGGACGUAUUGGUAAAUGUUGUGAAAUGGAUACUUUGAACAGGUAUGUACUUAACCCUCGGGUUGAAAACUCGACAUAACAACAAUAUGGUAAGAUGGUAAAUGAAAAUGUGAUAUGAAUGUCUCGGUGAUGAUUAUACAAACGAUGUUGUAUUAAUUUUGUGAACAAUGAUCAUGAAUGAGUAAUUUAGCCUUGACAGAUUUGAGUUACUGCAGUAGUGUAACUUUGAAAAUACACUAAAAAUAGUGGAACAUGAGUUAGAGGCAGAAUAAAAUAUGAGAUUAAAUCUCAAUGAGUCUAUUUUCACAUGAAAGAAACAAGGGAAGAAAAAGAAUUCCAUAUUGUGUGAUAUUUGAAUUCUUGUGAAACAGAGUCUGAAUGAAUUCGAGAUCCCCUGUUCUAACUUUAGAAAUUCACCAAAAAUUGUCCAAAAAUAAUUAAGAGUUAUACCUUACAUGCAUGGAUUUCUUAUUGAGUCUAUUUUUAUGGGAAAUAAACGGCAUGGUCGUUGGAAUUUUUUACAGGGAGAAAUUCAGUUUGUAGUGCACAGGGGUCAGAGUGGUCAUACCCUGAAAUAGGGGAGACUUUAACUAAUAAACUAUACUAUUUGGCUUAACCAAAAAUUCUGGAAAUUUUAUGGAAGAAAUAAAAAUAAGUCUAGUUUCAGAGAAAAUUAAUGGAACUUAAUUCAGAGUUUCUUAGCUCCAGAUAUAAAUAAUUUAGUGACUGUUGCUCAGGAAGACAGCUUGUAGUGAACUUGAGAAUAUGUUGUAAACAUUGAUAAAACAAGUUAAUGAGUCGCUUAUUGUUUUCAUAUGAACUUACUAAGCGAAAGCUUACCCCCCCUUCUUUCCCAUGUUUUUUAGAGUUUCCAGGUUAGCUCGGGUUGGAAGCCGUCAGAGAUGUUAUCACCCUAUCGAGUUAACGUUAUCGGAGUAAGUAAACUCAAGUGAUUCGAGUCUAUGGCAUGUAUAGGGUUUUAAUGUGAGUAUGUAAUAUUAUGAUUUAGCCAAAGGCAUUGGCUUGUUAUUAAGGUAGUAUUAGUUAUGUAAAUUGGCCUAUGUCGGCUAAUAUCGUUAUGGGCCCAUAUGAUUAUUCUUAUGCAUUUAUGUUAUUAUUUCUUGUGAUGUGGCUUACAACAUGUAUGCCUAGAGAUUGAAUUGAGAUUCAUUGAUGAGCUAGUAACUAAUGCAGGAUUAAGUGAUUGGUAAAUAGUUAAUAAUGCUUCAUGAAUGGUUUGUGAUGUAAUGAUAGUUAUGUCUAGUAUGUGGUAAUGAUAUGGGCAAAUUCUAUAAUAUUUAUUGCAUAAGAAAAUAACUUGAGCAUAACAUGUUUGUAGAUGUUUAAGAGCUUAUUUAUGUCACGUUGUAUGUUAUUGGAUAAGUAUGUAUCUAUACAUAUGGUGUGAGAGUGAUAAAAGGCUUAAUAAUUAGCCUAUUUCUGGCCACACGGCCUGAGCACAUGGGCGUGUGAAGCCUUAACACAAGAGAUUUUUUUUAAGUUUUUCAUGAGUUCUCGAUUGGGUCUCGAACCACUCCAGAUGUAUGUUUUGGGCCUCGUAAGCCUGUAUAUGGGACAGAUUGUAUGUGAAAAGAAAAGUUUUUAACUAUUUGAGAUUUCAUGGCCUUGUUUAGUAUGAAAGUAUUAGUAAAAGUCAGGUAGCACCUCGAACCCCGUCCCGGCGUCGGAUGCGGGCGAGGGGUGUUACAAAUCUUAGAAAAAAGUUGUUUGGAUUUUGAUUUGUAGAUUUGUGACGUUCAAAAAUGUUGCAUGAAAAAAAACUGAAUUAUAGAAGAGAAAGUGAAAGAAAGCUUUCGAUUAGUGCAAGUAAUGUAAAAAGAGAAUGUCAUAUACCAACGAUUUUAACAACUCAAUGACUUAAAUGAAAACUUUUGAAUAGUGAUCAUUUUGUAACUGUUUAAAGUUAAGUGACCAAAAUAACUUAAUAAAUGUAGACGCAGUUUACUCUAAGUCUAACUAAAUCAUUAUUGAGUAGAGUAUGGAAUUAGUUUGCUAUUUUUAAAAAAUCAUAGCCACGAGGCAAACAUUGGGAAUAAAGUUGUAAUUCCCACUAAAGCAUUGCGUAGUAGGAGGAGAGAUGAGUUUCCUCCCCCAAAUUCGGGCUCAAAUUUUGUAAUCCCAACAUAGAUCACGUUUAACCAUUAAAUUAACGAUUCUCUCAAUAUUUUUUAUACAUUUUUAGUGUAAUUAAUAUUAAUAUAUUAAAUUUAAAUAAGAAAAGACUUUAUUAUUAAAAUAUAAAUUUAAUUUGAGUCAAUUAAAAUUUAUGAAACUUUUAUUUUAUAAUUUUUUUAUAAUUUUAAAUAUAUCUAACAAGUGUUAAGUAUAUAUAAUGAUCAGAUAAAUUAUAUUUUAAUAAAAGAAUGUAAAUUUAAAAUUAUUGAAAAGAAAAAUUACAAAUGCCAGUAAAAUAAGUUUAGAGUACACUACAAAUACAAAAGGCAUUUAACAUUUACGUUUAUUGAAACAAGUAAUUAAAUUAUUAAACCAGACAUGAAACAAAAUAAAUAUCAUUAUAUAGCUCUAAAAACCAUAUGAUUCAUGAGACCCCUCCUUCAUUUAAGUAAUUACGUCGGUGUUGUUCCAAUAGGGUCGGAAGCGUGUAAAUUAUUGUACUAAAAAAUCACACAAAGUUCAAUUCCCAGGAAAGAGAGGUGGAUCACAAGGAUCUCUUAAGUACCAAGUCUUUCCUUAGUCAGAAUAUCCCUUCUAUCGUAAUUUAAUAGUACAAUUAAAUACUACUAUUAUACCCUCAAAUAUUGAAAGAAAAAUAGGACAAGAAAAAACACAAGAGUUUUAACGAGGUUCGGUAAAUUAUACCUACGUCCUCGGGCACUAACACCAGAUGAUAACUUUAUUAUCUCCAAAAUAUUACAAACAAAUAGAAUUCCUUAAGAAUUCUCAAAUGGGAGAAGAGAGAAAACUAAGAGAGAAAGAUUGGUUGGGAUGGUUGAAAUGAAAAUGAUUAGGCCUAUUUAUAGUUGAGGUUCAGGGACCAAUCUGCAAAUGGCCUAAAAAUUAGGGAUCAAAAUUGCAAUUAUCCCAUUCAACUUUAAACAACUUGCCAUCACUUUUUCUUUCGGUGCCAAUUGCACCUCCCAUUUUUGACUUUUCAACACCCCCUUAAUUGACUUUUCAACAAUCUCCACCUUGAAGAUUUGAUUAGGAUAAUCACAUCUUCACACACUUCCUUCAACUCCCCAUAUUCGAUAAAGCUAUCUUUUGUAGUGCCUCCAAAUGCGCUCUCGAGUGCCAUACACCUGAAGGUGCUCAAAUUCUCAGGAUGUUAAUCAAGUUCAAACAAUGAUUAAACUUGAUUGUUGUUACCACCUUGGUCAUCAUAUCUGCGGGAUUAUCUGCUGUCGGAAUCUUCUGAAGUAGAAUUUUUCUUUUUUCAAAGACUUCCCGCACAAAGUGAUAUCUUACAUUGAUAUGCUUGGUUCUUGAAUGAUAGACUUGAUUUUUCGCUAAAUGAAUAGCGCUCUGACUGUCACAAUAUAGACUAAUGUGACUUUGAACAACUCCCAAGUCUUUCAACAAUCCAUUAAGCCAAAUAGCCUCCUUAACAGCUUCUGUAACUGCCAUAUAUUCUGCCUCUGUAGUAGACACUGCUACUGUAGACUGUAAGGUAGACUUCCAACUCACUGGGGCUUUCGCAAGAGUAAACAGAUACCCCGUAGUUGAACGACGUUUAUCUAAAUCACCAGCAAAGUUGGAAUCAACAUAUCCAACUACAAACUGACCAAGUGCUUCAUCCUGUUCAAAAAUUAAACCAACAUCUACGGUUUUUCGAAGAUACCGUAGAAUCCAUUUCACAGCUUGCCAAUGUCCUUUUCCAGGAUCAUGCAUAUACCUGCUCACAACUCCAACAGCUUGUGAAAUGUCAGGCCGCGUACACACCAUCGCAUACAUCAAACUCCCAACUGCAUUAGCAUAUGUGACUUUUGCCAUAUAUUCUCUUUCUUCUUCAGUUUUCGGAGAUAAUUGAGCACUAAGUUUCAAAUGAGAAGCAAGUGGGGUACUUACAUGUUUUGUGUUUUCAUUUACACCAAAACAUUGUAAUACCUUUUUCAGAUAUUGCUUCUGAUUCAAACAAAGCUUGCCUCUCUGUCUAUCUUUACUUAUCUCCAUGCCGAGAAUCUUCUUGGCCUCACCUAGAUCUUUCAUCUCGAACUCUUGAUUCAACUGAGCCUUCAACUUAUCUAUCUCUUUUUGGCUCUUCGAAGCGAUUAACAUAUCAUCAACAUACAAGAGUAGCUAAAUGAAAGAUCCGUCAUGCAGUUUCUGCAAAUACACACAAUUGUUAUAUUAGCUUCUUGUGUACUUCUGCCUUCUCAUAAAGCUAUCAAAUCGCUUGUACCACUGCCUCAGGGAUUGCUUCAAUCCAUAUAGCGAUUUGUUCAGCUUCUAAACCCAAUUUCUACCACCAGCAUCUGUGUAUCCUUCGGGCUGAGUCAUAUAGAUCUCCUCUUCUAACUCACCAUGCAAGAAAGCCGUUUUAACAUCAAGUUGAGCUAGCUCCAAAUUCAACUGUGCUACCAAGGUCAACAAAAUUCUGAUGGAGGAAUGCUUCACAACAGGGGAAAAUACAUAAUUGUAGUCAAUUCCCUCCUUCUGAGCAUAGCCUUUAGCUACCAAUCUUGCCUUGUAGCGAAUAUCUUUCUUGCUAGGAGAUCUAUCUUUCUUUGCGAAUACCCACUUGCAUCCGAUUGCCCUUUUACCUUUCGAUAAUUGCGCCAACUCCCAAGUAUUGUUCUUCUAGAGAGACUGUAUUUCUUUAUCCAUGACGCCUUUCCAUUUGUCACUUUCUAAGCUUUGCAUUGCUUCUUGAUAAGUGACAGGAAUAUCAUCAUCAACAACGGGAAGGGCAUAGGCUACCAUAUCAGUAAAUCGAGCAGGUUUACGAAUUUCUCUCCGUGGCCUUGCAACUGCAACUGGUUCUGGUGUACUUAGUGGUUCUUGGGUCAGAACCUCUUCAACCUCUAAUUCCUCCAUUGUGGCUGGAGAAUUAGACUUAUUAACUGGGCAAAUCCCUAUCUGCUCAAACUCCACCUGUUUUGGAGUACACUCCACCUGCUGUGGAGUAUCACUUGUCUGAAUAUUUUCAUCUGCUACCUUUUUCAAUGUGGCAAAUUCAUCAAAGGUAACAUCUCUGCUAUAGAUCAUUUUCUUUGUGUCUAAGCACCAAAGACGAAAUCCCUUCACUCCAGAAGUGAUUCCCAUAAAGAGAGCUUUCUUUGCCCUCGGAUUUAACUUUGACUCCUUCACAUGAUAAUAUGCAGUGGAUCCAAACACAUGUAAGGAAUCAUAAUCUGUAGCCAGUUUUCCAAACCAUACCUCUAUAGGAGUUUUUCUUUCUAAUGCAGAUGAUGGCAAACGAUUAACAAGAUGGCCAGCGUAUGUCACAGCCUCAGCCAAAAAUUGCUUGCCCAACCCAGCAUUGGACAACAUACAUCGAACUUUCUCCAACAAUGUUCGAUUUAUACGCUCUGCCACUCUAUUCUGCUGUGGUGUAUCCCUAACUGUGAAGUGCCGAACAAUACCAUACUCUUGGCACACAUCGAAGAACGGAUCACUUUUAUAUUCCUCUCCAUUGUCCGUCCUAAGCCGUUUGAUUUUCUUGCCAGUCUGGUUUUCGAUCAUAGUUUUCCAUUUAAGAAAAACUCCAAUCACUUCAUCCUUAGUUUUCAUGGUAUACACCCAAACUCUUCUGGAAAAGCCAUCAACAAAAGUAACAAAGUAGUGUUUCCUCCCAACGAAGGUGUUUUGGAAGGCCCCCACACAUCUGAGUGAACAUAUUCUAAAAUACCUUUUGUAUUAUGGAUAGCAGUGCUGAAUUUCACUCUCUUUUGCUUUCCCAAAACACAAUGCUCGUAAAAUUUUAAUUUGCAAGCCUUUGCACCUUUCAACAAUCCUUGCUUUGCCAGAAUUUGCAAGGAUUUUUCGCUGGCAUGUCCCAACUUCAUAUGCCACAACUGCAUUGAGUCCAAUUCUUUGUUACCGGAAGCUACAGCGACUGCUCCAAUAACUGUACUACCUUGGUAGUAAUACAAGUUAUUUUUCCUGAUGCCCUUCAAUAUCACAAGUGCGCCAGAUGUCACUUUCAAAAUCCCAUCUCUCAUAGUAACAACUGAACCAUUGGAUUCCAAGGCUCCCAAUGAGAUGAGAUUUUUCUUCAAACUGGGUACGUACCGAACAUCAGUCAAAACUCUGGUUGAUCCAUCUUGAUUCUUUAAUUGGAUUGAACCUAUCCCAACAGUUUUACAGGUAUUGUCAUUGCCCAUAUAAACAACUCCUCCAUUUAGUUCUACUAAAUCAGAGAACCACUCCCGGUUAAGGGACAUAUGAUAGGUACAACCCGAAUUCAAUAUCCACUCAUCUGAAUGGAACGACGAUGAUGAUGCAACCAGUGAUAGUUCAGAGUCACUGGUAUCAUGCUUUGCAACACAAGCAUCUACAGCAGUUUUUCCCUUAUUCUUCAGCUUUGGAUAAUUUUUCUUCCAGUGGCCUUUCUCAUGACAAAAGGCACAUUCAUCUUUCCUGAGUCUGGACUUUGACUUUGAUCUCCCUUUCUGAGUUUUCUUCUGAGUGUAUGAACGACCUCGGACUACUAAAGCUUCUGUAUCUCUGAUUAAGUUUUUCUAUUUGUCAUUCUUUCUCUGUUCAUAACUGUAUAAGGCCGCACAGACUUCGCUCAGAGAUAUAUCACUCCUGCCAUGAAGUAGAGUAGUUUCUAAGAACUCAAACUCCUCAAGAAGUGACCCCAACACCAUCAAAGUCAAAUCUUCAUCUUUGAAUGUCUCAUCCGUAUUUAGCAAAUCAGUGACUAACUGAUUAAAUUUGGUGAUGUGAUCAUUCAUUGUGGUACCUGGGACAUAAGUGAAGCGAAACAGUCUUUUCUUCAAGUGGAGUUUAUUUUGACUAUUUUUCUUCAAAAAUUUUUCUUCAAGUUCCACCCAUAACUUAUUUGCAGAAGUUUCCUUUGAAAAAGCAUACCUCUGCUCUUGAGAAAGGCAUGAUCGAAUUGUGCCACAUGCCAACCGAUUGAUCGCCUUCCAAUCUUUCUCCUGUACAUCAUCUGGUUUCUCUUCAUCAAUGGCAAUGUCUAGACCCUGCUGAAAAAGGGCAUCUAGAACCUCACUUUGCCACAUACCAAAAUGGCCCGUGCCAUCAAAGAUCUCCACGGCCAAUCUUACAUUUGCAAUUGUCAGUCUUGUCCACAUGAACGAUGUUGAAGCUCCUACACCGACCAUUUUCUCCAUAAUCUUUCAAUAUACCUAAGGAAAUCUUUUCUGAUGUGGAAGAUCGGUUUAAACUGCAACCACAAAGCAUACUACGAUUAACCUUCGGCUUUGAUACCACUUGUUGUUCCAAUAGGGUCGGAAGCGUGUAAAUUAUUGUACUAAAAAAUCACACAAAGUUCAAUUCCUAGGGAAGAGAGGUGGAUCACAAGGAUCUCUUAAGUACCAAGCCUUUCCUUAGUCAGAAUAUCCCUUCUAUCGUAAUUUAAUAGUACAAUUAAAUACUACUAUUAUACCCUCAAAUAUUGAAAGAAAAAUAGGACAAGAAAAAACACAAGAGUUUUAACGAGGUUCGGUAAAUUAUACCUACGUCCUCGAGCACUAACACCAGAUGAUAACUUUAUUAUCUCCAAAAUAUUACAAACAAAUAGAAUUCCUUAAGAAUUCUCAAAUGGGAGAAGAGAGAAAACUAAGAUAGAAAGAUUGGUUGGGAUGGUUGAAAUGAAAAUGAUUAGGCCUAUUUAUAGUUGAGGUUUAGGGACCAACUUGCAAAUGGCCUAAAAAAUUAGGGACCAAAAUUGCAAUUAUCCCAUUCAACUUUAAACAACUUACCAUCACUUUUUCUUUCGGUGCCAAUUGCACCUCCCAUUUUUGACUUUUCAACACCCCCUUAAUUGACUUUUCAACAGUCGGGAUGCACACUCCGUAGCAUGUGCAAUUACCACAGCAUUCCUUUUCUGCAAAUAAGCAAAACUCAUACUUCGGGACGCAUUCGGCAUCAGGAUUUCCUUUAACGUGGAAAUUGACCAAAGCGGUUGUUGAGCUUGAGUCAGCGGGGAGAGUCACCGCCUCUUUGCAAGCGGCGGUUGCCAUUAGAGGCAUGGUGGCUGUCAGGAGCACCGCCAUCGUAACCAAGACGACAGUAAAUUUCUUCCAGGACUCCAUCUUUAAGUUUGUGUGUAAAUUGAUGGACACGUUAUACAAAUGGAGGUGCUUUAUAUAGAAAUGCCCAAAAUAUAUUUUAGUGGUUUGCCAAAUAAAAAUAACAAAAAUCAUAUUAUAAACAAGUGGAUUGCAUGGCAAAUUACGUGACUUGCAUGGAAGACUAGUGAAUGGAAAUUUUGAUACACAUCCACCAUCUCUUUCUCUCUCCCUCUCUUUUACUUUUCUUAUAGUUUUUCUUAAACAUCUAACUUAAAACUUUUGGGUAAAUUAAACAAAUAGCCACCAAACUAUGCACACGUUCCUAUUUUGGUCACCAUCUAUUAAAUUGAUAACAAUAUAAUAGGUAUAAUAACAAAUUCAGCCCUCAAUAAUUACAUAUUCUAUUGAUUUGAUCCUAAUUCUAAAUAAUUCAAUAACUUUAACCCUUUACAUUUACAAAUGCCAUCAAUUUGAUCCUCAAACUUCCUAACCAAAGCUUUCAAUUUUUAAAACAAAGGCAUUCCACAUCUAUAAAUUUGCAAAACCCUAAAAAAAAGGGAAACAAAACUUCUUUUUGGGUUUUACAAAUUUAUAGAUGUGGAAAGCUUUAAUUAGAAAGUUUGGGGAUCAAAUUGAUAGAAUUUAUAAAUGUGAAGGGUUAAAUUUAUUAAAUUAUUCAUUAAUAGGAUCAAAUUGAUAGAGUAUGUAAAUAUUGAGGACUAAAUAUGUUAUUAUAUGAGUCAAAUCGCUAUCAAUUUAAUGGUGGGUGACUAAAAUAGGAACAAAUUCAAACGUUAGAGCCUAAAUUAAAAUUUUUUAAAGUUGGGUGACAAAAACAUGAACGCGGACAUAGUUGGGUAACCAUUUGUAUAGUUUACCCUAAAAUUUUUAAUAGGUUAAAAUAUACUUAAUGUCCUUGUACUUUUUGCAUAUUUGAAAUUUAGCCCAUUUUACUUUUUAGAUUAAAAAGUGUAAGUGUAAUUGUUGAACCAAUUAAAAUUCUUCUAUUAAAUUCAAAUUCAUUACAAAGUCUUUUUUUAUUAUUAUUACAUGGCUACUAAGUGAGUAUUUCUUUUAUUUCAAAAUGUCACACUAGAAAAUUUAAUAGAAUAAUGUUAACAGUGUUAACAAUUAGAUUUGAAUUUUGAAAUCAGAAAAGUAGAAUGACCAAAUUCUUAGAAAUAAAACUAGGUGGACUAAAUUCUAAAUAUAUGAAAAGCACGAGGACUUGUAGUAUAAUUUAACCUAUCUAAAAUUAAUUGACAAUAAGUGAAUAUAUAAAUGUAAAUAAGACAUUAGUGCUGUAAAAUACUCAAGUUCAAUUUGAAAGAAAAAAAUCUCAAAUUUAAGGAUAAAUCACAUCCAAACUCACUAAACUAUUAGCAAGUUCACAUUUUAUCAUUCAACUUCAAAAAGUUACAAAAUGAUCACUAAACUAUUCAAAAGUUUUUAUUUAAGUGAUCAUUGCGCUAUAAAAUUCUUUUUUUAAAGUUCAGCUAGUGAGCUCCAAGCAACAAUUCAACGAUCAGUACAGUGGAUCAGUACUCAUUGCUGAGUAGAAGAACAUAUAUUAGAUCCAAGUUGAUUUGGCAAUCAAUAUCGGAGAUCUUAGAAGAAAGUUGUUUGAAUUUUGAUUCGUAGAUUUAUAAUGUUUAAAGCUGUUGCAUGAAAAAAAACGAACUAUAAAAGAGAAAUGGAAGGGAAGCUUUCGAUUAGAGCAAAUAGUGCAAAAAGAGAAUGCCAUAUACCAAUGUUUUAACAACCUAAAGACUUAAAUGAAAACUUUCGAAUAAUUUAAUAAUCAUUUUAUAAUUUUUUAAAAUUGAGUGAUCAAAAUGUAAAAUUACUAUUUAUCUAAUAAAUUUAGCUAUAAUUAACCCUAAUUUAACUGAAUUAUUGUUGGAUUGAGCUGGAAUAUGUAAUUAUUUUGUUAUUUAAAAAUAUCAUAGCCACGAGGCAAACAUUGGGAAUAGAUGAAAAGAUCGCAUGGGGAUAUAAUAACAAUAAUAAUAAAAGUUGGUUUUUGUGUAAUUCCCACUAAAGCAUUAAUGCGUGGAACCACGAGCGAUGAGUUUCCUUUCCCAAUUUUGGACUCAAAUUGUAAUCCCAAAACUAACCAUGCCAUUGCCAUGAUGUAUACCAACAUAGAUCACGUUUAACCAUCCAACAUAUUUUUUUAUACAAUUUUGGUGUAAUUAAUAUUAAUAUAUUCAUGUUGUCAAGUUAUUUUUCAUAUAUUAAAUUCAAAUAUAAGAAAAGACUUUAUUAUUAUUAUUAUUAUUAUUAAAAUAUAAAUUUAGUUUGAAUUAAUUUUAAUUUAUGAAUGUAGGUUCCUACUUUAGAGGAUAAUGCUUUGACGUUAUUCAAAUUGCUGUGAGCAGGUAUAAACCUGUUGAUGAGAAGAUUUGGCAUUUUUGGAGACGGGGUGAUUGUAUGUGAAGUCCGGCUAUUUGCUUGCUACAAGGUCGUUUUCUCGACUUGACCUUUCGUUUGAUUUCGGUCCUUGGUUGAAACUUUGGAAUAGUUCUCUUUCCCCGAAGAUUAAAGAUUUUGUUUGGAGGUGCCUCAAAGACUUUGUUCCGUGUGUAUACAUAAUCGAUCACUAAAAGGGUGCCUCUUGAUCCCUCUUGUGCUAGAUGCGGCUCUUUCGAAAGUCUAGAUCAUGUGUUUUUCAUUGACCUAUGGUUGCACUUGUAUGGCAACUUAGUGGUAUUCAACGAAGAGGUGACAGUGCAUGGGAGUUCUUGCUUAAUAUUUUAGAAAGUGGCGACAAUGAUCUGAUGGAGAAAGGCUGUGCGAUAGUUUGAAGUAUUUGGUUUUUCAGAAAUGCUUAUGUUUGGUGCAAUCUGAAUUCCUCUGUUACGCAGUUGCUAACUUUUGCUUUGAACUAUUUACAGGAUUGGAAGGAUGCAAAGGGGCGGUGGAAACUUAUCGCCAGGCAAUAAAUGGAUGCCGCCCGAGGAGGGCUGCUGGAAAUGCAACACUGAUCUCGCUACCGGACAUAUAGUGACUGGGGCUUCGGUGCAAUUGUGCGGAAUGAAAGAGGCGAGUAUAUCUCAGGGAUUUUCGGCCGAAUUGAGCCGGUGGAGCAGCCGAUGUUGGCGGAAGCCCAUGCUAAUAAAGAGGUCCUCUCAUGGUUAAAGGACUGCGACUUCGACAAUGUGAUUCUGGAAACUGAGUAUCAUGCCUUGGUUUCGAGGGAACCCGACAAUUAGAGUUCGGUGUUGUAGUUGGUGACUACAUUAGUCUUAAUAAUCUUUUCAAUUAUGUGAAUUUUAAUUGGAUGUGCAAAGAUGCUAAUACAGCGGAUUAUGAAUUGACUAGGAUAGCUUUAUUUCAUGCUCAACUGCAUAUUUAGAAUUUAGUCCCACUUUUUUUAACUCGCAUUUUGCUUUAUGAUUCGGCACUAACAAGGCGGAGCCUCAUGGUCCGGGUUAAUUUUCCAUCUAUUACUAGCUGGCUUGCUAUGUUAUGCUUUGUUUAAUCAAUACUAUUGUCGAUUAUUUUCAAAAAAUUAAAUUAAAUUUAAAUAAGAAAAUGAUUUUGAUAUCCUUGGAAGGGCAAGUUUUGCCAACUCCUUUUUCAUCUCUCCAUAGAUUUAUUCUAGUAAUUAUUGGAAAAAUAAAAAGAGAGACUAAAAAUGAUAAUUAUAUAUUUUUUAAGUUAAAAUGCAAUUAUACUAUAAUAUUAAUUUAUAAUUUCAUAAAAUUUAAAUGACAAGCUUACUAUUUAAGGGUAUAUACAUUGCGUGCCCCCUAUCUACACUUCUGAUGUGUAGGAUGAAUUUUGGUGCAAUCUCAUGGGAGUUCAUUUCUUUUGGAUAACCAUGUUUAAAGACAAACCUUUAUUUUUUUUUAGUACAAUACAAGCAAUUAUAUUAUAAGGGAAAAGGGGAAGAGUUUACAAACACAGGCAUAAUCCUAAACAUGCACAAUUUUCACAGCAAACUCUGGUCGUAAACAUGCAAAAUUCAAAAUUUUUGAGGCAUUUCUUAUCAGGUUUGUCUUCAACAUCUAAAAUUUUGGCCAAAGUGGUUGUUGAGCUCAAAUCGGCAGGGAGAGUCACCUCCUCUUUGCGAGCGGCGCUUACCGUUGGAGGCAUGGUGGCUGCCAGGACUACCGCCAUCAUAGCCAAGACGAAAGUAAAUUUCUUCCAGAACUCCAUCCUUAAUUUUGAGUGUAAAUUGAUAGAAACGUUGUACAAAUGGAGGUGCAUUAUAUAGAAAUGCCCAAAAUAUUUUAGUGGUCUACCAAAAAAUAAAAUCAUAUUAUAAACAGGAUGAUUGCAUGACAAAUUACGUGACUUGCAUGUCAGACUACUUGAUGGAAAUUUUGAUACACAUCCACCAUUUCUCUUUUUCUCUUAGUUUUUCUUAAAUAUUUUAGUUAAUAUCUAAAAUCAAUUCACAAUAAGGGAAACUAAAUAAAGAUAUUAAUACUCGUAAAAUACAUAUAUUCAACUUAAAAAAGUAAAAAUCUUAAAAUUGCAUUAUUGAGUUGAGCAAUUAACUUAUUAAAUCAUGAAAUCCAUGAAGAUAGAACUCUCAAAUAAAGCAAAAGAUGAUUUUGUUUUAAUUUAUUUGGUAAUAUCUUAAAAGAAAUUACGUAAUUCGAUAAUUUUUAAUUGAUUUCCUCGUCAAUGACUUUGAUUUAAAGAAAGAUUGAAGAGUAUAAUUUAAGAUGUUCAACUUUAAGAAAUAGUAUUAUAUCUUAAAUUAUUUUAAUUUAUGUUUUUUUAAAGUAAAUUAAAUUACAUUUAAAAAGUAUUAAGUUACUUCUUUAUUAUUGUACCAACAACUACUUGGUGCAAGAUAGACAUGAUCAUGAGCUGGGUCAUCCGUCUAAGCCCAAAGGUUCACUUGAAAAAUUAUAGAGUUUAAGUAAAAAUAUAGGCACAAAAAAUGAGUUUAGACAAAAAAUAAUGCAUGUUAUCUAAACGAGUCGAGCAUAGGGUAAGAUUUUUUGGCCUAGCCCGAAUUUGCCUAAUUUUUUUCUUUACUACAAUUUAUUGUUAUUUUGUUGUUAUUUUGCUAUAAUUUUACUCUUAUAUUGUUAUUGUUUUGAUAUUGUAUAACUAUUAUUUCAUUAUUAAUUUUCUUACUAUUUUAGAGACAUUUGCUUAUUAAGUUAUAAUUAUUUUAGUGUUUAUAAAGACUUUUCUUAAUAUAUUUUCAAUUUGUUAGAAAAUAUUUAUUUUAAUAUUUUUAAUGUAUUUGAUGUAUUAUAUUUUUUAAUUUAUUUUUAUAUAAAAAAUUUAUUUUUAUAUUUUUUAAUUUAUUUUUAUAUAACUUAUUAAGUUAUACAAUUGAAUUUUUUAAAUUUUAAGGUAUAAUAAAAUAUUUAAAGAAAAAUAAUAUACAUGAUAAUUUUUUAAAAUUAAUUGUGAAAAAAAUAUUAUCAAUAUAUCAAUAUUAACUAUCAUAUUAUAUACAUGUUUUUGUAUAACAUCUAGAUUAUGACAUGGUUUUAAACUCGAUCAUUUUAUUUUUCUUCUUCAAUAUUGUAAUUCUAAAAAGGAAUUUGAUAUAUUUUUUAUUAUUAUAUUUUGAAGUUAUUUUUCAAUCAUAUAUUAAUAAAAAAUAAGAAAAAAAAUUAUUAUUAUUGAAAAUUCUAUCACGUCUAUACGUGUGUAAACUACGUAUUUAGAACAUAAAAGUUUAUUUAAAUAAUAUAACUAAAAAUAUUUUUUAAUAAUUUCUCCUACUAAGUUGAUGCUUGGUUGACUCGUAACACCAAUAUCGUCAUAAGUUUAAAUAAUAGUACGUAUAUAUAUACAAUUAAUGGAGGUAAAAAGUGUGCAUAAUAAAAUUAGCAAGUAUAAAUAACAUUAUAUUAAAGCUUUGGUUUAAUGCUAAAUUUAAAGUUUUAUUAAUUCAAUUGGUAUAAGUUCAAAUAUAAUCAUAUGUAUAUAUUGUCGAAACCGCCCUUUCGGUUUAAAAAUUUUAGGUUUAAUAGAAAAAACGAGGAAUCGACUGUUUGAAAAUAAAACAUGGGGUCGCCACCGAUCCUUUUGUUUGGGUGUGAUCGGAUCACCUAAGAAUUUGAUUAUUUUAAUAAAAUGUUUUUAGUUUACUAAAACAACGAUUCUGGUCUAAGAAAAUAUGAGAAAACGGGCUCGGGAAUCGGUUACGUAUGAGGAAGGAUUAGCACCCUCAUUACGCUCAAAAUUGGUACCAAAUCGAUUAAAUACCGUCCUUAUGUCUAAAAUUAAAAAUAUUUUUGAAAUGCGGUUCUUGUUAAUAACAUUUGAAUAACCCGAGUUGGUUGCCAAAAAUCUUCUUGUUUCGACAUCCGACAGUUUAUAAUUUGAAAUUAACAAAAGGAUGCCCAACUAUUUGGUCCAACGAAAAACCGAAACCCAGCACAGUAGGGCACGAUUCCUCGAAUUUUCAAACAUCGAACAUUGCCUCACCUUAGAAAAUACGAGUGAAAUUCUGAAGGGAUCUUCGAUUGUUUUGAGCAAAUGAAAAAUCGCAACCCAGCACGAUAAGGCUCGAUUCUCAAAUCGCCAAACAUCGAACAUCGCCUUCGUUUUGAAAGGUUUUUAAUAAACAUGAAUGAAAACCUAAAGGAAUAUUCGAUUGUUUUGAACAAACAAGAAAACACAACCCAGCACGAUAGGGCAAGAUUCCCGAAUUGUCAAACACCGAGUAUUACCUUCGUUUUAAUGGAUUUCUAGAAGACCUGAGUGAAAUUUUGAAGGGAUAUUUGAUUAUUUUAAACAAACGAGAAAUUGCAACCUAACACGUUAGGGCACGAUUCCACGAAUUGCCAAAUAUCGCAUAUCGCCUUCGUUUAAGGGAUUUUAAAAGAUAUGAGUGAAAUUUUGAAGUGAUAUUCGAUUAUUUUGAGCAACUACGAAAUUGCAACCCAACACGUUAGGGCACGAUUCCGCAAAUUGCCAAAUAUCAAAUCUCGUCUUCGUUUUAAAGAAUUUUUGAAUGAAUGAUUAUAAAGCUAGCUUAAGACGUAUUAAUUCGAUUUGAAAUAAGACGAAAUUAAUCAUAAAUUUGGGUUUUAUAGAACCACAUUUCAAAAAUCAAGUGAAACGAUGAUAUGUGGUAAAAGGCACAUAUGAUGGUACGAUGCUUAAUGAACAAGAAUAUUAAUCGACUAGCAGAAUAAGCAAUUAAAAUAUAAUUAAUUUAGAAAUUAUAGCCUAAUUUCAAUCAUGUAUGAAUAAUAAUUGACAUAUCAACAGGAUGAAUGUAACACCCCAAACCCGGCCCAGACGUUAUGGCCGAAUCUGACGUGCCACAUUGGAGUUGAAAACCCAUGUUCCGUUUUAGUGUUUUAAAAACCAUAUAUUUUGUUGAGUUAACAAAGUGUAUGGAAGUUGGGCACCAGGUAGGUAUCCGAGACAGAGGAGGUGAGCCAUGAAGGCUGCUUAAGUACCAAGCUCUUUGAUUGGAUCCAAUCCUAGACAUGCCCACAACCAUAGCCACACUUUGUUAUAUCGAGUUUAAAUUUGUUUAAGUGGACAACUUUGAUAAAUCGAUUAAUCGUAGUGUUGAGAUAUUUUGAAAACAAGUAUCGUUUUGCAAACACGUCCUAAGUCUAGCCCAUUUGAAUAAUUAUCAACCAGGUUUAAAGUUAUUAAAAAUAAACUAAUCCCGAAAAGAAAUAAAAGAAAAGUUAAAAUGGCCUUAUUACAACCCAAAAAUAAAUAAUAAUUAAAGGAAAUUUAAUGAAAACCAACGCUUGUUUAAAAGCCCAAAGACGAUCACCGUGGCUACUCUGAAUCCCCUCCGGCCCAAGUCCCCAUAUCAAGGCUCACCUGCAAGGUUAAGGAAAGGGGGUGAGUUUGGAAACUCAGUGUGCAACAAGCCCCUUUCAGAGCCCAAAACAAUAAUGGCCUGUUGGGUCUAAGCCCAAAACCAAUCUCAAACAUGUAUUGGGCCAUAGCCCUUUUCAUAUUUCAUAAUUCAUAACACUGGGCCGAAGCCUUUUCAUAUUUCAUAUUACUGGGCCGAAGCCUUUACUGUAAACGGUGUGGCCCAAAGGCCCAUUUUUAUAACACAUGUAAUGUCAAUGAAAGAAUGCAACCCAUUUGGGGAGACUACUCAACCCACCUUCCGCUACUCUCCACCAGUACCAACCAACACACCAUGUGGGGAUUAACUCGACCCACCCCGCCAUAACUCUCCACUGGCAACAUAGCUGCUUUAUCAUAUAACUGGAGGCCUAGCCUCUUUUAGUAACUGGGGCAAAGCCCUUUUUAAUAACUGGGGCAUAAGCCCUUUAAUAACUGAGGCAUAAGCCCUUUUGAUAACUGGGGCAUAAUCCCUUUAAUAACUGGGGCAUAAGCCCUUUAAUAACUGGGGCAUAAGCCCUUUAAUAAUUGGGGCAUAAGCCCUUUUUCACUUCCUCCAUUCAUAUAAAAACCCAACCCAAUGCAUUUAUGAAUACAUCAUGUGCAUGUCAUACAUAUCAUGUGCAUAUCAUACAUGUCAUGUGCAUAUCAUACAUACCAUGUUUUUCAAAAUCCCAUGUAUUAAAUUCAUAUUUAAACCCUAGGGGUAUAAUGGUCAUUUUUACUUAGGGGCAAAACGGUCAUUUUCAUGUUAUAAGGGUAAUCUUGUAAUUUUACCAAAAAUUAGGGUUUCCAUGUCCAUUAAUGGUUACAAACAAUUCAUAGGUGCAAACAGUGAUCCUGGCCCGUUUUUAGCGAAAUCGAGUUAUUGGGCCAAAAACCCCUAAUGGGCCCUACUUAGCCGAUUUUAUCAUCUAAACCCAUUUAGCCUAUAUUCCAUAACGGUAUUAUCAGUCUUAACAUGCAAUUUAACAGAUUUCUAUUUUCUACCGAAUUUACCCAAAUGGGCCCGAAAGCCUAUUGGGCCCUAUUGCAGCCCCUCGAGGCCCAACUUACCGUGAAUGCCAAAAAUCACGUUCUUACCGUUUCCAUUGUUCCCGAUCAUCAUCUCAUCGAUUCUAACUAACUAGUGAGUGUUCGCUUGCUCACAAGUCCUCGAAAUGACAGAAUUUCGGCAUUUCGGCUUUUCUGCAUUUAUCGCUUUAAGCUUAUGAAAAAGGGUUCGUUACACACCUGUUUGGCGAUAUUCCUCGACGAGAUCUCCUACACGAUUUCUCCUAUAAUCCAUCAUUAAUAAUUAGCUUCCCAUAAUUGAACAAAACCUCAAAUCAUCUAAUACUAAUACUUACACAUUCGGCCACCAUCCAUAAUGGCCUUAGGAAUCUUACCUUUGCCGCGAUUGAUGACUAGGUCUAGCCACUCCGGUGAUCCAAGCUACUCCAAGUUGGCCCUACACCUUGCUGCUCCUCCAAUAAAUAAACCAAAAAUAUUAAAAGAAGACCCCAUAAGGCCUAUACCCACAUUCGGCCACCUCCCUAAACUAGAGGGGUUUCGGCUUUUGGCCAAAGUUACACUAGGAAUUGUUUAGAGUUUGAACACUUACCACAGUCUUUCUCCUCUUGAAUCCGGAUACCUAAAAGGUAAAGGAAUUGAACGCCAACUAUUGAAAAGGAAAGAAAAGGUUGCUGGUCACAAAGAAUCGGCACCCCCUAUCUUCACUGAUUUCGGCUUUUUGCGGUAUUUCGACAGAAGUAGAGAUUAAAGAAAGAAAUAAUAAAUGAGUAGAGGAAAGUAAUAGGCCGGAUUUUGAAAAAGAAAAGGGAGAAAAGAUGAGAGGAAGGAUGGUAGAUUCGGCUAGGGAAGAAAAAACAAAAGAGAAAACUAAAACAAAUGAGAAAACAGCACAGCUAAGACCCUAAUGCCGAAAUUACUAACCUAAUACCCUUCUGCCGAAUUCCCCUCUCUAACCCCUUCCAAACGGCUAAGCUCUAUCCUUCUCUCAAAUCCCUAAAAUCUCUCCCCUUAUCCCUCAUUAAUCCAUGCGUUUGACUUGAUCCAACUCUCCUCUUACAGAAUCCACUUAGGUUCCAACACUUACCCUUCCUGCACAUAAAAAUAAAUACUCUUAUUUGCCAACACAGGGAAUCGAUCCCAGGUCUUCCCUUAUGCUCCACACGCCACCUUUUUAGGAGCUUAGUGGCGUCACCCUUGCCACUCUACGAAAGCUCUUUUUUUGUGAUACAUUUUACCCAUAACUUAAUAUAAGGCACCUAGCCAGAGCCCCUAACUCCUAAGUCCAAAAUUUAAAAAUUCUACCGGGUUUUAGCCAACUCAUAAGCCUUCCACAAGCCUAUUUACACACCCAAAUUAUGAAUUCCAUAAUCACAUACCAAAUUUUAGAAAAUUACUUAAAAUAUCAAGAAUCGCGAAAAACUCGAAAAUCAGGAUGUUACAAUGAAUACCAUGCGAUGGUAACAUAUAUGCUACAAUAUAGAACAACCAACAAAAUACAUGCAAAACAAAAUAGAAUUUAAAAGUCAAAGUGGUAUAGGAUUAAUAAACUCAUGCUAUAUAAAUUGACAAGUUUGAAUAAAAACUAGAAAUAUAUAUAUAACUAUUGAAAUAGAUAUUAGAAAAUGAAAGUUGAAUUAAAUUGUAUGUAAAAUAAUUUAAACAUAAAUUCAUUUAAAAGUUAACAGAAUAUAUGAUAAUAAAAAUAUAUGAUACAAAAAAUACAUAACAAAAUAUAAUGCCCCAAAAUAGAUUUAUAAGGAAUGUACAUAUAAUUUUAUAAAAAAGAAUGAGAUUAAUGAUAAUGUACAUAUAAUUUUAAGUUGGUCUAAAAACCAUACAUCCUUAUAUCAAAACAUUUAAAUAAUAGGCUAUAUAAAACACAAAAAAACAAUGUAAUAUAAAGAAACAUUAAAAAAGAUAAUAAUUUCAUAAUUAAAAAGUUUCUAAAAUUAUUUCAUAUGUACAUAAAGAAAAUAUUUGGUAAAUCACAAAGUAAAAGGCGUUUUAAAAUAAAAAAUCUAUUAAAGUAAUAAGUGUAUUAAUAUGUAUAUAUAUACAUAUAAAUCUAAAAGUAAAUACGUGUAAAUUUAUAUAAAAAUGAUAAUAUGUUUAGGUUUAGUAAUGUAUAUGAAUCAAAUACAUAUACUAAUAUAAAAGAAUAUAAAAUAACUUAAAUCUUAUAUAAAAUAUAUAUACAAAGCAUAUUUGAAUAGCAAAAAAUACAUAUUAAAGUACAAGGAUAAAGUCAAAAGCCAUUAUAUGUAUGAAAAUGCAUUAACUUUAUUAUAAUAUAUACGUAAUAUGUAUAGUAAUAAAAAGGAAAUGAACAUUUAAAAUGUACAAAAUGUGAUAAUAACAUUACAAAAAAAACGAAUCUACAAGAAUGAAGAAGCAAUCAUCAAGAUUAAUUAAAAUGUACAAAUAAAAUAAAAUAAAAAAGGGUAUAAAACAACAAAAAACUUAAUUAAAAUUAAACUAAAACAAAGGGAUAAUUCGAAAACAAACAAAAAUAAAAAAGGACCAAUAUUUAAUGCGCGAAAACGUCUGGGGACUAAAACUGGCAAUAUACCAGAUCCCAAAACGUCAAGUUUAAGCGCAGGUUAGAUUGUAAACGAAUAUAAAUUAUUGGGCCAAAUUUAAAAAAGGUAAAUAAAACAAAUGGGGCGCACUUGAGCACGCAUACAAAAAAGGAGGGCUUUGCGCGCAAAUAACCCUUCACCGCAUAGGCACGCGGGUCCUGAGGGUUAGGAAUCGGAUCGGGUCAGGUGUACCAAUACGACACCGUUUGGAAAGCCAUUGGAGAAGGCCUAAAACGGUACUAUUCGUGGUCCUAUAAAAAGGCCCCUUUUAGCCCACUCAGCCGAACCCUAGCCUUCAUUCUUCUCCUCAGCCAUAACCUGUGUUUUCUCCCUCCAAGAGACCAGCCCGCCACAAGGUAUGGUGACCGGCGCUCGCAGGCUUCGAAACAUGGUUUCUUUCAGCCACCGGGUUCCCUUCGAACCCUGAUUUUGACGAAGCAAAAGGGAAUCCGCGGCCCAAACUCAAGGUAAGUCCCCUUUUUCUUUUCUUUUUUUGAAUGUAAAAUGACAAAAAUUAAAAAAAGGGAAGAAAUAGCAAAUAGAACCGAAGAACAAAGAUCACCUUCUCAAGAAGUGGCUUUCUGAUUUUCAAGCAAUGUGUAUUGCGUAUGUAUUGUGUGUAUUCAUUUAUAUUGCCUUCGUAACCAUUACAAAGAUUAAAUCGUUGGCUUUAUAGCCGAAAAGAAAUCAAAAGAUAAAAAAUACAAACAAAUUCCUAUUGGCUGUCGUUCUCGCUGCUGUUUUUUGUUUCCUUUCGCAGGUACAGGUGCGUGGCGUAUGUACGAGGCUGUAGUGGCGUACGAGGGCUAUUGACGUAGAGGCCCGAGCGUUGUACGGCGCCUGGAGGCUGCAGUAGUUGCUGCGGCACAAGCAGAGGAGAUGACCUAGGGUUUCUGAGGCUGUUAGGGAAAUGGGCCUAUAGGGCUUGCUCCGAUUUGGGUUCUAACAUUAAUUUGGGCUUGUAAUGGGCAUCGGGUUUGUCUUUGGAUCAUAGGAUUGGUCUUUGUAAAUAGGCUAUGGGCUAUAUUAGUAAUUUUUGGACUAAUGGACUGUAAAAGGACAUUUGGGUUUUAUGUUUAUUAUUUUUGGUUUGUUUUUUGUUUUUUUAUAUGGGUCGAACAAAUUUGGCCCACUACAGCUACCCCUCUUUGCUCAUUGUUGUGUAACGAGAAUAGAGCAAAGACUAUCAAAUGACCAAAUUUGCCCAGUCUGGCUAAGUCUCAAAAUCUUGACCCUCAUCUUCCCCAAAGGUAUUCUGAUGUCUUUAGGAGUGUCAAAUUGGCUAUCCUCAACUUGCUUCUUGAAAACUCAGGAACACCAAUCUGUUAUUUUCGAUCUGCUCUCUGCCAAUACAGAGAUGCCAAAUCUGCUAUCUUCGAUCUGCUCUCUGUCAAUACAGAGACGCCAAAUCUGCUAUAUUCGAUCUACCCUCUGACAAUACAGAGACGCCAAAUCUGCUAUCUUCGAUCUGCCCUCUAACAAUACAGAGACACCAAAUCUGCUAUAUUCGAUCUGCUCCUUGCCAAUACAGAGACGCCAAAUCUGUUAUCUUCGAUCUGCUCUCCGCUAAUACAGAGACACCAAAUCUGCUAUCUUCAAUUUACUCUCCGCCAGUACAGAGACGCCAAAUCUGCUUAUCUUUAAUCUGCUCUCCGCCAAUACAGAGACGCCAAAUCUGCUAUCUUCGAUCUGCCCUCUGACAAUACAGAGACGUCAAAUCUGUUAUCUUCGAUCUGCUCUCUGUCAACACAGAGAUGCCAAAUCUGCUAUCUUCGAUCUGCUCUCUACCAAUACAGAGACGCCAAAUCUGCUAUCUUCGAUCUGCUCUCCGCUAAUACAGAAACGCCAAAUCUGCUAUCUUCGAUUUGCUCUCCGCCAAUACAGAGACGCCAAAUCUGCUAUCUUCGAUCUGCUCUCUGUCAACACAGAGAUGCCAAAUCUGCUAUCUUUGAUUUGCUCUCUGCCAAUACAGAGACGCCAAAUCUGCUAUCUUAAUCUGCCCCCUGCCAAUACAAAGACGUCAAAUCUGUUAUCUUCGAUCUACUCUCUGUCAACACAGAGAUGCCAAAUCUGCUAUCUUCGAUCUACUCUCCGCCAAUACAAGAACGCCAAAUCUGCAGGAUUCGCCAAUGUCGCUACACUGUCUUCUAAAGACAUGAUGUAUAGAAUGGGUUUCCUGUAUCUGUGUAUGUCAAAUAACUAGGAUACUAUGAUCGAGAUGAAUCAAACAUCCCUAACUAGAUGUAGUGUUUAUGUCAAAUAAUUAGAAUGCUAUGAUCGAAAUGAAUCAAGUGCUCCUAACUAAAUGAAUGAUUACGAAUGUAGAAAUGUCAUGAGAGUGAUUCCUUUUUAAACGCUUAAGGUAUCAUUGCUCAUAAUUCACCAAGGUUCUAUCAUUGAUGUACUAUCACGCUCUCUUACUUAGCCGUUAUCUUUGAUAGAAAAUUUGAAGAAAUAGUCACAAGUAGGACUCUUCUUUUUCGAAUGUUUCCAACUUUGAACCUGAUUAGUCCUAACUAGUGGCCCUGUUUCAGGUUCUUGUACUAUUUAGAGACUUUCCAAAGUAAUAUGCAUAACAUCUUUUGUGUGAAUAUUACAUGUCCAAAAAUCGCGAUUUCAACAAAAAUGCUCGCAAGAGAUUAUCAUAAUGGACAAAUGGAAUUUUAUUAAGCAAAAUUUGACGUGAAUACAUAGGAUCACGAAUAUGAUAAGGUGCAAAGAAUGAGAAAAAGGUGCCCCAGAUAUCGCAGCACGAGUUUCACUAUUCUAAUUUCUCAAAGGCUCCUUCGAACCAAAUGUAUAUUCAGGAGAUCCUGCGAAUUUUUUUGAUUCUCCAAGGUGUACUGUUCUUCUGUCUUGCUGAUUUCGGGAGGACAAGACUACCAUAUGCCCCAUAUUUAAAAUUUGAGCUGCCCGUUUUUGGGUUUUCAACUCAAAAGCCCCUUUGGUUCUAAAGUGCCCUUUGCGGGUUUUCACCUUGGCCUCUCCAUUAUUUUUUUUCAGAGUUCAGAGCGCCCUUUGCGGGUUUUCACUCUAGCCUCUCUUUCUUCAGGUAAAAUAUUUCUUGACCGAACCUGAGUUUACAGGAUUGGGCAAGUUUCUACCAUCCAUCUUAGCUAGAAUCAAUACUCCUCCGGAGAAAGUUUUCUUCACCACGUAAGGUUCUUCCCAAUUAGGCAUCCAUUUCCCUCGAAAAUCCUUCUGUAUGGGGAGGAUCUUUUUCAAAACCAGAUUUCCCUCGUGGAAUUCUCUAGGGCGAACCUUUUUGUCAUAAGCCUGCAUCAUUCGUUUUUGGUAUAUCUGACCAUGACGAAUAGCUUUUAGCUUUUUUUCCUCGAUCAAGUUCAAUUGGUCAUAUCGAUACUGGACCCACUCUGUUUUAUCCAAUUUUAGUUCCGACGACACUCGGAAGGAUGGGAUCUCGACUUCGAUGGGCAAAACUGCUUUCAUUCUGUAGACCAGGGAGAAAGGCGUUGCCCCAGUUGAGGUUCUGACCGAUGUUCGAUAAGUAAAGAGGGCAAAUGGUAAUUUCUCAUGCCAAUCUUUGUAGGUCUCGGUCAUCUUUCCCACGAUAUUCUUAAUAUUUUUAUUGGCUGCUUCCACUGCCCUAUUCAUCUUCGGGCGAUAUGGUGACGAGUUGUGAUGUCUGAUCUUAAAUUGACUGCAGACUUCCACUAUCGUACUGUUGUUCAAGUUUAAUGCAUUGUCAGAUAUGGUCCUCCCCGGUAUUCCAUAUCGACAUAUGAUCUCUUUUUUCAAGAACCUGCUCACUGCUGACUUUGUAACACUAGCAUACAAAGCAGCUUCUACCCAUUUGGUGAAGUAGUCGAUAACCAAAAAGAUGAACCGAUGCCCAUUGAAAGCUUUUGGCAAUAUUGGUCUAAUCACAUCCAUGCCCCACAUAGAGAAAGGCCAUGGGGAAACCAUGACAUGUAGCGGUGAAGGAGGCACAUGAAUUUUGUCUCUAUAAAUUUGACAUUUAUGACACCUCUUGGCGUAAUUGAUACAGUUUCCUUCCAUAGUGGACCAAUAAUACCCAAAUCUCAUAAUUUGCUUGGCCAUUGUGAAGUCAUUAGCGUGUGUCCCACAAACGCCCUCAUAGACUUCUUCCAAGAUUUUCUUAGCCUCUACAGCGUCGACGCAUCUUAAUAGCACUUGAUCCUUUCUUCUUUUGUAUAGGAUCUCCCUAUCUAAGACAUAGUUGAUGGCCAAUCUUCUCAGCGUCCUUUUGUCAUUUUUACUUGCCUGGUCGGAGUAUUCACGAUUCCUCACGUAUUGCAAUAUAUCAUGAUACCAAGGGUGAUCAUCUUUUUCUUCUUCCUCUUCAAUAUUAUAACAGUGAGCUGGAGUUUCAUAAAUGCCCAUCCGGAUGGGUUUGACAUCUUCUUGUUUGUUCACCUUGAUCAGGGAGGCUAAGGUAGCCAAAGCGUCAGUCAUCUGAUUUUCAUCUCGUGGAAGGUAGUGGAAGGUAAUAUCAUCAAACUCUUUAUCCAAAUCCAGGACCAGCUUCCGAUAAUCGAUUAACUUGGGGUCUCUGGUCUCCCAUUCUCCCUUGAGUUGAUAAAUCACUAGCGCAGAAUCUCCAUACACCUCUAGCAUUUUAAUCUUAUGUUCUAUGGCUGCACGGACUCCCAUGAUGCACGCCUCAUAUUCCACCAUAUUAUUCGUACAAUCAAAAUCCAAUUUACUAGUGAAUGGAUAAUGAUCUCCGUUUGGGGAUACCAAGACGGCCCCGAUUCCAUUGCCCACAGCAUUUGACGCCCCGUCGAAGUUCAAUUUCCAAGGAAGUUCUUCUAGAGCACCUUCUUCAGUGGUAGCAACACAUAUUAGGUCUUUAUUCAGAAAGUCGAAGUUCAAAGGCUCGUAGUCUUCCAAAGCUCUACUGGCCAGGAAAUCUGCUAUUGCACUUCUUUUUACCGCUUUCUGGUUCACAUAGACUAUGUCGAAUUUAGAAAGCAGAAUCUGCCAUCGGGCCAUCCUUCUAUUCAAGGCUGUUGACUCCAUCAUGUACUUUAAAGGGUCUAAUUUUGAUAUGAGCCAAGUGGUGUGAUACAACAUAUACUGCCUCAGCCUUCGGGUUGUCCAAAUUAGGGCACAACACAACUUCUCUAUCGGUGGGUAUCUUGUCUCACAUUCCGUGAACUUUUUACUAAGAUAGUCAAUAGCCUUCUCUUUCCUUUCUGACUCAUCAUGCUGACCCAAUACGUAUCCCAUGGAAUUCUCAAAUACUGUCAAAUACAGUAUCAAUGGCUUAUCGGGGUUAGGUGGCAUUAGCAUCGGGGCGUUGGAUAAGUACUGUUUGACCUUGUCGAAAGCCCUUUGACAUUCUUCAUCCCAUUCACCUGGGUUAUGUUUCUUGAUGAGGCAAAAGACAUGGUCACAUUUCUCGGUCAGUUGUGAAAUAAACCGAGCAAUGUAAUUUAGUCUUCUUAGAAAGCCUCGAGCCUCCUUUUGGGUACGCAGUGGAGAUAGCUCUUGUAUGGCUUUGACUUUGUCUGGAUCAAUCUCAAUCUCUUUUUCACUAACCACGAAUCCGAGCAACUUUCCAGACUUGGCUCUGAAUGUACAUUUGGCUGGGUUGAGUUUUAGCUGAAACUUCCUCAACCUCAAGAACAAUUUUCUCAAGACUUGUAUGUGCUCCUUCUCUGUUCGAGAUUUUGCGAUCAUAUUAUCGACAUAAACCUCGAUUUCUUUAUGCAUCAUGUCGUGGAACAGGGUUACCAUGGCUCUUUGAUAAGUUACCCCCGUAUUCUUCAGUCUAAAUGGCAUCACUUUGUAACAGAACGUACCCCACAUGGUUACAAAUGUAGUCUUCUCCAUAUCCUCAGGAUGCAUCUUGAUUUGGUUAUAUCCAGAAAAAUUAUCCAUGAAUGAAAACAGUAAGUGUCCUACCGUGUUGUCCACUAGGGUAUUGAUAUGAGGCAGCGGGAAAUUAUCUUUCGAGCUGGCUUUAUUCAAAUCUCUGUAGUCCACACACAUUUACACUUUUCCAUCUUUCUUAGGGACGGGGACGAUGUUAGCUACCCAAUCUGAGUAUUUUACCACCUUCAGAAAUCCGGCGUCGAACUACUUUUGAACCUCUUCUUUUAUUUUUAACAAGACAUCGGGCCUCAUUCUUCGGAGUUUUUGCUGAACUGGCUUACAUUCUUCCUUUAUGGGGAGUCAGUGUCCAGCCCAGGCAUAUCUUGGUAUGACCAUGCUAAGACAUCUUUAAAUUCUUGAAGUAAUUCAAUGAGGUCUCGCUUCAUCUCCGUAGUGAUACACGUUCCGAUCUUCACCUCUUGCCCUUCUCUUAAGCUCAUAAUUUCAACUGAUUCUUUGUGAGGUAAGAUUUGUUUCUCGUCUUGUUCUACCAUCCUCAACAAAUCAGGAGAUAAGUUACAGCCUUGGUCAUCUUCAAAAUCCUGAGAAUCCUCCAUACACACAUCUCGCUCGAAAGGUAAUUCUGAGUCGCUAGUAGUGUCACUCGUAUCAUUAAUAUCUGGGGACCUGUUAUGAGGAUGAAGGCAGAUACAAAGAAUCAAAAGAAUUCGAAACAUUUAUUUGCGUGGUAUGAUUAUGAAUGACGAAUGAAAGAAUAUUUAGAAGAAUGUUUCAAGAAUAAAAGAAUCCGAAAAUAAUCAUUUGUAUGGUUAUGAAUGAAAUUGAAAGGACGAGAGAACAUUUGCUCAAAAAUGAUAAUAACCGUGCAUUUGAUUGAAAUAACGCUUUUAAACAUUAGCCUAUUUCACAAAAGAUUCUUAUUACUCCUAGGCCUAGAGCAAUAAGUGUAUUUUGGACAUUACUCUGAAUCUGUUCUAAAAACUACAUGAAUCUCUUCCGCAGUCCAGUUGUCCAGAACACUUCCAGGUGUGUAGGGGCAAAUGUCUGACAAAUUUUCUCUUUCAGUCUCCUCUUCGUAUAUGACAUUGAUGUCUAAGCUUUCCAACCUUUCUUCUAUAGCUCCCAUCAUUGGCGUGUCUCUCUUAGGAUAAAUGAUUCCCCCGGAAAAAAAUGUUUUCGAUAUAUGGGGGAAUAUUAUUGGUUCUCACUUGAUUUUCUCCCCCGUUAACUGUGUUCUCCUUCUCUCUUGCUUCUUUUCUAGCUCCCUUCUCCUUUGUUUCGCAUCUGGCUUAAAUCCUAGGUCGAAGCGGUCUCUCUUGUCUUUCAGUAUUGGCGUUUCAAUCCUUCAUUGUAGAUGUCUCCCAAGUUCUCUCCCGGGUAGGGCCCAUUUUCCAAUCGUCAACUGGAGGCUCAUCCUCGUGGUUUUGGACAAUUUUGGCACCAGAAUUUUACUUCCCUCGGCGAUGAACGUCGCAUUAACAAAUUCUAAAGAUCGAAAUGAGCAUUCGAUUGCUUCAUCAUCUGUCUCCAAAUAUGGUGCAUUAUUGCUCACAGUUGCAAUGGUAUCCUCUUCAGCCUUGAUCGUUAUCAGCCUCCCCUCCGAUACCAGCUUCAAUUUUUUAUGCAACGAGGAAUGCACUGCCCCAGCUGAAUGUAUCCAGGGCCUCCCCAAUAAGCAAUUAUAUGAGGGCUUGAUAUCCAUCACGAGGAAAUCGGCCUCAUAUGUGUUUGGCCCGAUCUGAAGAGGUACAUCAAUUCUGCCCAUCACCUUCCUCUCCGUGCCGUCGAAUGUCUUUACGAUGUUUUGGAAUUCCUUUAUGUGAGAGCUGUCUAUAGGUAAUCUGUUAAGUGUAGUCAAGGGCAAAAUGUUCAAGGCUGAACCAUUGUCAAUCAGUACGCCUGGCAGCGUAUACCCUUUACAGUGCGUGGUAAUAUACAAAGCUUUAGUCGACUCCAUGCCCCCAGGUGGUAUCUCAUCGUCAUUGAAGAAAAUAAAAUUGUCGGCACUGAUGUUGCUAACCAAACGGUCCAACUUGUUAUCAUUGGCAACGUACGUUUCAUUCAAGACCUUCAUUAGCGCACUACGAUAAAUUUCUGAGCUUAGAAGCAAGGCCAGCACCGAGAUACGGGCUGGUUGUUUACGUAGCUGUUCCACCACACUGUAUUCGCUAUGCUUUAGGAAUUUUAAAAACUCAUUGGCCUCCUCUUCGUUAACUGGCUCGUUAACAGGUUCGGUUGCUUUUCCCUUCAUUUCCUCGACCACCUGGGUUUUUCCUUUUGUGGGCUAUGCCUCCUCAUUUGCUAUAUCGUAACGUCUCCCGCUACGUGUAUAGGAGCCCCUAUCUUGGUCCCCUCUUGAAGCGUUAACCAGGUUCUCCUUUCCCGGUAUCGUCACACUGCACUCAUAAUUCCAUGAGACAUUUUUGCUAUAUUUGUAGGGGAAGACUGCAGGUCUUUGGAUUAUGACCCUCGGUGGCACUUGUACUCUAGCUUCAUUAUUUUGGGGUCUCAAAAUGAUCACCACAGGAUAGUUAGAUGUUCGAUUCUGUACCGUCGAUUCUUCCUCCGAUGCGUAUAUAUCUCCCUCUACAGGGUUUUUGGCUUCUUCAUAAAACUCAAUUUCCUUAUUGUUCAUCAUGUUUUGCACUAAGGCUUUGAACUCCACGCAAUCUUGGAUUUCAUGCCCCACCUCAUCGUGAAACUCACAGUAGUUUCUCUCUUCUUCGGAUUCUUCCCUUGAAUCCAACGCGAUCAAUCCUCUCUUGGCCAUCUCCUUCCAUACCCGCCUCAACGGGGUCCUGACUUCUGCCACCUCAUACUUGGUCUUCUUAUUCCUACCUUCACUUAUCUCAUUCACUCAUUGGUCGAUAUGAUUAGGGAGUGGGUUUUCUGCUACAUUGGGUGUGGCUGGGUCGUCAAAUCUCACGAUCCCCAUCUUAAUAAGUCUUUCAAGUACUUUCUUAAACGCAGCGCAGUUUUCGAUAGAGUGCCCGGUGAUUCCUGCGUGGUAUUCACAUUGGGCGUUUGUGUCAUACCAUUUGGGAUACGGGGGCUGCAGUGGCUUCAGGUAGAAAGGAGACACCAUAUGAGCUUGAACAGGUUCUGGUACAACUCCCUAUACGUCAUGGGUAUAAGGGUGAAUUGUGGCCUUUCUGUGUUCUCCCUCGCGUUGGAUUCUUGUUUUACAGAGCUUUGCUGAUUGGUGGUCACCGUCUUGGGUUGAUUUACGGUGAAUGACUUGGACUGACCCUUGUUGAAUGUGCUCGUGUUGUUUACUUCAUUGUCUCUUUUCCUCAGGGCUGACUUCCUGGUACUAUCCCUGAAUUCUAUCUUACCGCUCCUUAUAGAAUUUUCGAUAAUUUCCCCCGUCAUCACUAUGUCGGAGAAGCUCUUGGUGGCGCUUCCCAACAUAUGAGUGAUUAAAGGGGCUUUCAAGGUGUUGAUAAUGAGCAUUGUCGUCUCUUUUUCUAGAAGCAGCGGCUGAACUUGUAUGGCCACUUCUCUCCACCUUUGUGCAUACUGUCUGAAGCGUUUAUUUGACUUUUUCUCCAUAUUCUGGAGAGUGAUUCUGUCGGAGGUCAUGUCCGUCACGUGGUUGUAUUGUUUCAUAAAGGCCUGAGCCAGGUCCUUCCAUGAGUUAAUUUUAGAGCGGCUUAAUUGGUUAUACCAUUUAGACACUGCCCCGACCAGACUAUCUUGAAAGUAAUGGAUCAAUAGCUGGUCGUUGUUAACAUAUCCCGUCAUUCGCCUGCAGAACAUAGUGAUGUGGGCUUCAGGGCAGCUUGUUCUAUUGUAUUUCUCGAACUCGGGCAUUUUGAAUUUGGGGGGAAGGACUAAAUCUGGGACCAAAUUCAAGUCCUUGGCAUCAAUCCCUUGAUGAUGAUCCGCGCUCUCCAUGACUUUGAAUUUCUCCUUAAGCCAUCUACAUCGUUCUUCCAAUAGUUUUUACGAAUCUGCACUCGCCUUUUCUUCUUCAGCAACUUCAUCCAAAUCGGGAACGGGCGGAUAGUUUGGGUUGUUGACAAAGUUAGAGCCUGAGCCGGCUUGGAAGUUAUUGCUGGGGUAUGAUUGUGACAGAUGGUUUUUGUAGGUUAAUCUCGGGAUUCAUCAGUAUAUACAUCGGAGUAAAGCCAAGGGGUAUUGGAGAUCCUCAUUAAUUUCUUCAACUUUGUCCAUGGGGCUCUUUCCCUUAUACAUUCCUCCCAACAGCAAUUUGGACAACUGGGACAUCAUUUCUCUCUGGGACUCCAUCAUUUGUUCAUUCAUCUCUAGCUGAAUCUUGGCUAGUUGCUAUUGCAUCUGAGGCUACAUUUGUUCUUGCAUGUCCUUUUGCAUUUGCUCUAAUUUCUCAAGUCUCUUAUCUAUUGAUUUUUUUUGUACCGUAGGGGUGCGUGGUUGGUUGGUUUUCGUUAGUUUCCAGGUUACUGAAAUAAUUUUUAAUUAAUUAAUUAGAAAACUCUUAUGGCCAUUAAUGCAUAAUGAUAUGAUGUAAUGAAAAUGCAUGAAUGCAAAUGAGGCAUCAAUUUUGAUUCAAUUGCCCUUAGAAAAUUUCACUUGAAAAUAAAAUCUUUUUACAUAAAGUUGAGUUACAAAUAAAAUUUCGCUCUAAUACUCAAAGUCCUAAUUUUUCUAAACAACGGGCUAGCUCUUGUCUACGAUCCAAUUCCAACUCAUACUUCACGCUCAGUGUGUUCGCCUGAACCACUAAAGUUUGCAAGUAGUCUGCUACCUCCCGAAUCUGGGCUAUGGCUUCCCUCAUAAGGUAAUCUCUAUUUCUGACUUGGUCUUGCGCAUGGUGAAGCUGUUCUUUCCAACGAUCUUUGUUUGCCUCGAAAAACUGGAUCCGCAUCUCACAGUUUUGCAGUGACGCCUCUAACUCUUCUAUUUUUCCUUUCAUUUCUUCUAUCUUGCUCAAGCUUGCUCUCAAUUCCAUUGCAGUGUUGCGGUUUCGGUACUGAUGCAGAGACUUCUCAAGUUCUGCCACUCUAGCCCUUAAUUCACCUCGCUCAUUUCUGCUCUUCGACAGACUAUUCUCCAAAUCUUCGUUUCGUGUCUGAGCUUCUCGGAAUUUUCUUUCCCACCAGUCGGUAUUGGCUUUUUCUUCUUGAAUUUCAUGGCGCCAUUGUUCGGAAGUCUUACCUAAACCUGCAGUCCUCAUAGAUAGGCGUAGCUUCUUGUAGUCCGUCUUCAAGUUGUCUAGAUCUUCUUCGGCCUUAGUUUUUCCUUUUCUCCACUUCUUAGCCUCUGACCUCUGAACAUCAGCAUCUAACCUUAAGUGCAUCUUCUCUUCCUCCAAUUGUUCGAUCUUCUUCCCAAGCUCCAAAAUCUUCUUCUCGAAGUCUUGUUUUAUAAUUUCCAAUUCUGAUAGGGCGACUCGUAAUUGUUCUUCGAUAGGUCGAGCAUUCUCCAAGCUUGGCCUAAGAAUAUUAUCAUUAACCCUCUUCUUAAACCACUCGUUAUACUCAGGCGUUACCAUGGAACCGAUGGCUAACCUCUUCAUCCAACAAGUUUACUUUCAAGCAUUCGAUAACUCCCGAACUCUCUUCUUAUAGUGAGCACUUUUAAACGAGAAAUCACUCUGAGCAAAUCCAUAGGUCGCGGGUACAAACUACCUCAACUUAUAUUGCCUCAAGGCUAGCAAUGGAGUAUACCCUGUAGCUCCCCAAAUCCCUAACAAUGGCACCCAAUCGAAGUUACCACAUCGGUACAUGAUCUCGUCAGGAACCAUCCAAUAAGCUCUCCACUCGAUAUCCCCCUCCUUGAGGUUCUGAAGAAUAUCCAUCCACUUCUCUUUCGAGAUAUCCUCUCUCCUUUGUAUAGCUACCUCUUCUUUUAACGAAGAAUAACCCUCAGAAAAGACCCGAUAGGGAACCUUGUCUACCUUCCAAAAGUGCUCGCGAAACCAUGCCAUCAAUAAUUGUGCACAUCCAAUGAACCGUCCUUCACCCAUCCUCUGACAUGAGCUCAAAGAUCUGAAUGUUUCUGCCAAUAUUGCCAGUACCGGUGUGAUUCCCUUCUCAAGGCGAUCGAAUAAAUCAAUGACUGCUUUGUCCACGUGCCUCAAAGCCUUGGGAAAAAUUACCAACCCGUAGAGGCUUAAGGCAAAGAGGUCGACCCUCUUUCUUUCGUCUGGAUGCGUCAAGAUCAAAUCUCACAAAUUCUCCCAAGGGAUACAUUUGCUAUCUCCUUUUCGCUAAAUCCGUGCGGUGACCCAAGGCUCCCUUAUCCCAGAAAUGCUCAUCCGAAAGUCUGACUACUAAAAACCCGGGCAUAAGUCUUCCGGACCUGAAUUUUUGGACACCUGAGCAAAGUAGUGUAUUCCUCCAUGGUAGGUACCAAAUCCACUUCUCCAAAAGUGAAACACUUGUACGCAGAAUUCCAAAACUGCACCAAGGCUCAGAACAAAUGCUUAUCCACUCUAAUGUCUAGUAGGUAGGAUAUGUCACCAUAGCUUUGGUAAAACAACUACUUGAUCCCUUCAUCCCAACUAGCCCAAAUGCCUCUCAACUCUUGCAGCUCAUUCUGUACUACGUUGACGCAAGUGAAAUCCUACAGCUCCGAUACAUACCCUUCUGCCAAGCUAUCCCCUCUCUCUAAUUGUAGCCUUUCCGAACAUGCACGAAUGGCCGCAUUAUCCUCGAUUUUACUAAGAAAUUCAUUCUCCAUGUCAAACUUUCUAACUUAGUAAUUGAAUACGGAUUAACACCUCCUUUAGUAUGCAAUGUCAUGCAAAAAAAAUCAAAACAAAACACAGGUUAGUAUCACAUGAUAAUGAUAAAAUGCAAGCACAUAAACGAUAAUCGCAACGCAUAUACGGGUAAGUACUAAGGCUCGACGCGGCUCCACCCAAGGAUAGCUCUUAAGGUUCACUAUAUGUGGUUUAGUUCUAGGGAUAAGGUACCUGAACCAGCAGAUUCA
Molecule: long non-coding RNA, 45159 nt
Filed under: Gossypium barbadense (sea-island cotton)
Lineage: Eukaryota; Viridiplantae; Streptophyta; Magnoliopsida; Malvales; Malvaceae
Description: long non-coding RNA (GBAR_LNC008601)
Source: RNAcentral